UUUUUUUUUGUUUUGGAGUACUUCAAAUGUAGGACAUAUAUAUAUUCAGUUCUAGUGAGAGAAUACUUUGACCAAGAAUUAUUUUAUCACUCUGGGGUUUAUAGGAUAAAAACUCACAUUUAUUAGUAAGUAUUAAGUAUCGACAAAAGAAAAGCUAAUGAUACCAAUUUCAUGCCAUAUAAACCACAUAUUGACAUAUAAGCCACACACAUGUUACGAUUACACGAUAUCAUGAACUUUUCUUCAAAGUUAAACAAGGAUUAUAUAUAUUUAGUGAGUCAAGAUAAACGCAAGCAUCUAAUAAAUUUUACAAUCAUCUGUCCACUUGGGCGGAGACAUGCAACUGCCCGAAGGGUUCAUCCAGGAUCUAAUACAAUAACUCCCCAUCCAGGACAUGUUCACUUCCAAACCCCUCUAAGGCCCUGAAGUGGGUUUAAACACGGGCAAGGAAACGAUCCAUACCACAUCAGUACAAUAAGCAACUACAUAGGCCUAGCAGGUAGCAACCUCUCACCAAUAAUCAGCUAAGUAGAUCCAUUCCUAAACAUCUUCUACAACAUAUACAACCACCGACGGAUCUAAACAUCUUCAGUAAACUAAGCGAAUAAUCUGGAGAUGCAUGACAACCACACAAACACACACACACACACACAUGUUAUGAUUACAGGAAUGUUCCUCACCAAAGUUAAACAAGGUUUAUAACUACUUGUCAAGCCAAGUUAAACACAAGCAGUUGAGAAAAUUUACAGUCACUUAACCUAGGAGAUGCAACUGCCCUAAUGCCUCACCCAAGAUCUAAUACAAUAACUUGCCAGGGCAUGAAAAAAUCAGGAGGAAAGCAUCAUGCACAAUAGCUCCUUUAACAGAACUAAAACCUUACAGCAAGCAACUAGCAACCUUACACCAACAAAUAGCUGAACCACCAUUCCUAAGCAUCUUCUACACCACAUAUGGCCACCGACGAACCUAAACCACCACCAAAUUCGCACCAAGAACAGGAACAAAUCGCGACUACUGGCAUGAGGCGGCCAGGGUAAACCAUGCUGGAAAGAAAUGGAGGAAGGGGGAAUUUUUUGCCGUACUCGCUUCGACAUCUUGGGAGAGGGGUGGUACCCAGCGGCGGUGGCGGAGGGGGAAGGACGGCAGCAGGGCCACCAGGGUGGAGGAGGGGGGCGCCACGNNNNNNNNNNNNNNNNNNNNNNNNNNNNNNNNNNNNNNNNNNNNNNNNNNNNNNNNNNNNNNNNNNNNNNNNNNNNNNNNNNNNNNNNNNNNNNNNNNNNNNNNNNNNNNNNNNNNNNNNNNNNNNNNNNNNNNNNNNNNNNNNNNNNNNNNNNNNNNNNNNNNNNNNNNNNNNNNNNNNNNNNNNNNNNNNNNNNNNNNNNNNNNNNNNNNNNNNNNNNNNNNNNNNNNNNNNNNNNNNNNNNNNNNNNNNNNNNNNNNNNNNNNNNNNNNNNNNNNNNNNNNNNNNNNNNNNGGGGCGGCGGCGACAUGGGGGCGGAGUGACGCGGGGCGGCGGCGGCUCGGGGAGGGGGCAGAGAGAGAGAGAGAGAGAGAGAGAGAGAGAGAGGGGACGGAGAGAUGGGUCAGCGGGCGUCAUUGGCAUAGGGCACGGUUCUUUGCCGCAGCAGACGACAAAGAAGCUUUGCCGUCAGAUGGUAGACGGCAAAGAAAGUGUCCGUUAGGUGGUCCUCGCUAGUGGGCCACCCACACUCUUUGCCGUCUGCUAGCUGACGGCAAAGCUUCUAUGCCACCUGCUGGCAAACGGCAAAGAGCUAGCUGACGGCAAACAUGCCCUUUGCCGUCAGCUCAUUCUUUGUCGUCAGUUUUCUUCAAGCUAAUGGCAAAGACAUUCUUUGCCAUCAGUCAGCUGACGGCAAAGAGCUGGCUGACGACAAAUAUCCUGGUUCCAGUAGUAAGACCUACGAUCGGGCUCUUGUGAUCACCUGGUGGGACCUGUAUGGGCCACCAAUGUUGGUGCAAGAACCGGCAGAUCCCGGUAGGGGGUCCUAAGCUUGAUGAUCAGAGCUAGAUGGUAACAAGAAGAGUAGGGACACGAUGUUUUACCCAUGUUGAUGUGAGGCCCCCGAUUCAAUCAUACAUUAAUCAUACACGCAAAUGUGUACGAUCAAGAUCAGGGACUCACGGGAAGAUAUCACAACACAACUCUAGACACAAAUCAAAAUAAUACAGGCUUUAUAUUACAAGCCUGGGGCCUCGAGGGCUCGAAUACAUAGCUCGAUACACAAGACUCAGCGGAAGCAGUAAAGACAUAAGUUAAACAAGGGUGCCUUAAGAAGGCAAGCACAAAAGCAACAACGAUUGAAGAGGCAAGGCCUCCUGCCUGGGACCUCCUAACUACUCCUGGUCGUCGGUGGUCUCCAUGUAGUAGUAUCCGUCGGCGGUGGCAUCUGUCUCCAAGGAUGCAUCAUCUGGUCGCAUCAACCGGAAAGAAGAAGAAGGGGGAAAAGGGGUAGCAAAGCAACCGUGAGUACUCAUCCAAAGUACUCGCAAGCAUCAGAUCUAUACUAAGUAUGCAUUGGUAUCAAAAGGAAGGUUUGUAUCUGUGGACUGAACUACAGAAUUCCAGAACAGAGGAGGAAGUCCUAGCCUAUCGAAGACUAGCAUCUUCAAGUAGCUCCAAGCAUCUUGCAGCAUGUAGAAGAGUAAAGAAUAGCAGUUUAAUUAACAAACAUGUUGUAACAUUAAUGCCCAGAGAUCCUUACUUGACUCCCCACGAGAAAGCAAUCCCGGAGCCACAUAUCUCAAGUAUCCAUUUGUAGUUGUAUAAUAUCAGGAUAUAAGUAUGAAUGUCCGUUACCGUGGACACGGCUAUUAAUAGAUAAUCUUCCCUGCAGGGGUGCACCACGUUUUCCAACACGCACACUUUCCUGGGUCAAUGCCCGGCCUCGGAAGAUCAACACGUCGCAACCCUACCUAGGCUCAGCAGAGAGGUCCCCGCCGGUCUACAACCUAAGCACUCCAGGGUCUGCGACCAUCGCCCGUUGCACUCCGGAUCGUUGCGUACAGGGCGGGUCCAGGCUCCACCACUACAGGAUGGUGCCGGCCCAGCCAUGCCGCACUGCUGAACUAGACAUCUGACAAAGCUUCGGCUGAUACCACGACGCCGAGGCCCAUAACUAUUCUCGCAUGGUGGAUGGUGCGUAAAGUCCAGAGGCCAACUCAGAACAAAUACCCAAACCAUAGUGUAUUAUUAGCUUGCGGAGACGAGCAGAGACUCACGAUCGAAGUGACCCCGCCGCCCCGUCUCGUGGACUUACGGCAAGGGCCCAGAAUGCCCGGCCGUGCCACGUCAUUAUCUUGCGGGUGCUCUCCGGGCCUGCCCGACUUUCACCAAGGUCUCAAGUAAAGUCAAUGUAACCGUGUGUCCAAACAUCAAGGGGGGACCCCAAGGAAUCACCCUCGGAGGAUUCCACUCGAUGUAAUCAUCAAGGUGAAUGUAAGAGGAACCACCCUCGAGGUUCACACUUGAGGUGUUGCACAACAGAGCCGUAUCGGGAAUGGUGAAGGAGGAACCACCCUCGUUGACCACGGCCGAAUAGCUACACUACAGAGAUCUCAUCAGGAGUGGUGUAUGAGGUUCCACCCUCGUCACUCGAUGGUAACUCCGCAGAGUCGAGUAACAAAAAGGGGCGUGAUGUGAUGUGAGGUGUCGGGCUCUGGUCGUCGAUCAUGUUGAUCGAGGCGUCGAUGAUGAAGCAGGGGCAACAAGGACAAGUGGGGGUCAUUGAUGGAUCAAUAGCCAACCUAUACUAAGCAGUUUAGGAUAAGCAGGUAGGUAACGACGCGGCUUCGUCUCCGCGUUCGAACGCGACCGACCGCAUUCGUUUUGGUGGUUUGUGGAUGAAUCCCACGCGUCACCGCCGUCUCCUGUGGUCGUCGGUGUUGCUCCGGCCGCCGUGCUGACCUGGCACCGACUUUGCCCUGUGGGGGCCACCCCAGUGAAGCUACCAGAGGGCCCCGACGCCCAGUUGACCACGUUGACUCUGGUCAAUGCAGUUACUAUGCAUGCCAUGUGGGCCCCUUCUGCUAAUUAGGCUAAUUAAAUGUUUUUAUAAAUAAAAACAAUUAGUUAAACAAAAUAGUCACUGACUAAUGGGGCCCACACCCCUAACUAGUAUUGUUAGUCAAUUUGACCAACUGUUAGUGCCACAGUUGCUGACAUGUGGGACCCACUGGUCAGGUUGACCUGGCCAGCCGCUCUAUUGACUGUUGACAUCAUCAACAUGUCAUGCUGACGUCAUAUUCCAUUUUUGUUAUUAAAUAAUUUCAGAAUAUUGUUAAAGCUUUCAAAAAUCAUAUAAAAUAAUUCGUAACUCGGAUGAAAAUGUUUUCUACAUGAAAGUUUUUAGAACGACGAGAUGAAACCGAAUACACGGUCCGUUCAUCUGCCACACGUCCCUAGUAUAGCAAACAUCAAACCUUUCCCCUCCGGUCAUCUGUCUGACAAACAUUUGGAACCGGGAAAACUUUCUUGGAUGUUUCCCCCUUCGCCAGUAUCACCUAGCACUGCGUUAGAACACCUCUAGCACCGCUUAUUUGCCAGUCAUGCAUCUGUUUGCUCUGUAUUUACUGUUUCUUCCCCCUCUUCUCUCCGGUAGACCCCGAGACCGCUGCUGAUGCCACUAUGAUCGACUACGUCGACGAUGAUCCUUCUUCCCUUUCAGCGGAGCUUCCAGGCAAGCCCACCCUUUUUGAUCAUCCCGAUAUCGCCCAUUCUAUUCUCUCAUGCUUGCAUUAUAUUUUGCUACUGUAAUUGAUUGCUCCUAUUCUGAUGCAUAGCCUGCUUUUGUACCUGCAUAUUGAACGACAUCGGCUGGAGCGGCUAAGGCGACCGGGAACGUCGAUGGCGACCACCGCCGGCGGUGCCGGACUUCAGGCGAAGGUGGUUUCAGCGCUGUGGGGCACGGCAAGUGACGCGGUCGGUGGUGUUCGAGUGGCCAGUCGACGCUGCGUCGAACGCUAGUGAUACUGUGGCCGGAGAUGACGGGUAGCGACGGCGGCGAGCUCGAGAACUUCGCCGGAGUUCGGCCACGAUCGGGAAUGGCGCUACGGGGGACGACGAGGUGGGCAAGCGGCACGGGCGUCCUCGGCGAGCUGCAUUAAGCAUGUUCCCAUGAUCGAGCGAGCAUGGCAACAACUGUAACAACGGCGACGAGCUGCACGGCAGCGCUCGCUUCGAGCAGCGACGACAACGACGGCUACGGUGGCGGAAACGUAUGGGAGAGGGAAGGGAAAGAUGCGGUGGCUCACUGGGAAUCGUAGGGAGGUGGUAGUGUGCUCGGGGGAGGGGGCAAGGAGCGUCCGGAAUCAACGGCAACAGACGGCGGCGAUCCGAGCAAGGAGAAGAAGAUGGCGGCAGCGUAGAGGCUUCCCGGCUCGUUCUGUUCAACAUAGUAUACGGAGUUGAUGUUGGGGAGGCGUUCGAGCAUGUCGGCAAGGCGAACGGGAGGCGGUGGCCGCGGAAUCGACGUGGAGAUGGCGACGAUGGCGCUUGGCCGUUGUGGGGAAGAUGGAGCGAGCGAGAGGAGGGAGAGAGCGGGCAAGUGGGCGAGUGGAUGCGGUGGAUGUGGGAGAAAUAUCUGGGGGAAGGCCUUGGUGGAGGCCUUAUCCUCUCCGGGCAUCACCAGCGAGGUGGUCGGGGGCAGCCAUGCCCCUGUCGUGACCGAGACAGAGGAACGGGAAGGGAGGGGGAGUGACCGAGAGGGCAAGGUGGGCCGGCUGGGUUGGGUCUGCUGGGCUAGGCCCACUGGGAGUCAAGAGGGUUUUUUUUUCUUUUUGCUUCUUUCCUUUUUCAUUUCUAUUAGCUAGCAAAUGUAUUUUGUACAAUGUGGGACUGGGCCAGAUAAAUACCUUGCAUUUACUAGCACUGCCACGAAAAGUUUGGGAGGCUUUCGAGUUUCUUUGAGAUUUUUCGUAAAUGGAAAGGCAUUUAAAUGAUUGUUUAAGCCACUGUUAUAUUCAAAAAAAAGGAUUAAACAUGUCACAAAAGUGUUGGGUCACCACCAUAGUUAGUUAUGGUAUAUUUGCCACACUUUGAACAUUUUCUUUUGCAUGUUUGAUAAACUUGAAUUUUUGGACUUUUGAAUUUUGAGUUUGAAAAGAUCAGUGAUUUGGAUCAAGCGAGGACUAGCAAUAGUAAUGUGAUGACUUGGCACCUUUAUCAUGGGUUUACUGUAGCUUAAUUAUCCGGCCGUCACAGUUUGGGCCCUCUUGAUUAGGUAAAACCCUGCGUCCUGCUUCUAAUAUAUUGAUUGUGAGGUGGUAUAGAGUACAAAUUGAUCUAAUGAGUGUCUAAGCUCUAAACCUUGUGAAUGAGAAUGCGUGCCUCUAUGGACUAAAUCUCAUGGCUUAUAUGGACGUCAGGGGUACCUAGGAUUUACACAUGGUUGGUUACAAUGUAGGGAUAAACAUGCGAACCAUUCAAAAUACGCUUGAAGUGUAGGCCAAGCCUCCAGGAGCUCUUCAUCUUGAUUACACCGAGGGCUAGGGCUAGCAUGGUCCACUUGUCUAUCUUUGGUGGGUCUUCGACCUGGCCCAUCUCCAGUGGCCGACGUGGCAAGUACCUCCUAAUCCAGGACACCAAUAGGGGGUAAAAACCAUUUGUAUAGGACCCACCUGCACUAGUGGUGGCUAGUGUCCAGACUCCUGCAAAGUCCCUUGGGUUGCUUCCGUUUUGCCAAAAAACCGACUUCCGGGCUGGUCUGCGUACUGAUAUGGACACUAUUGAAUGGUUGUCCGGACAAUUGCGGAAGGUUUGAGAGUCCACUUUGAAGAUGCCGUAAAACAACAUUACUCAAAAGAUUCUGGCAAUCAUGCCAUGAAGCGGGGUUUUCUUUGGCCGAAACAUACUACAAAAUUGGACCGAGCAUGAAGAUAUUAAUGAGGGUUCUUUCUCUUUCAAAAGUUUUCCGGCGAAAGAUCUUUGGUAUUCCCAUAAAACUGAUGAAAAAAGUGGAUCGCUCUUAUGUACUCGCUCAGAAUGAUUCUUUUAUUUACCUAUAGGUCAUGGCCUAUUAGAAGUAAAUUGUGCUCUGGUGCAAUACUUUUUUUUGAACACAGUACAGAUGCAAAUGCUCAUACAUACGUGCAUACACUCAUCCCUAUGAAUGCAUACAUGCACACCCUACCCCUAUGAGCACCUUCGAGAGACUGAGCCGACAUAUCAUCUUGAGAUUUAUGAAGUCACCGUAGGUGCCUCGUCGAAAUCCUGAAAUAAAUCCAGGAAUAAUGUGAGCACCAGGACUUGAACCCUGGUCGGCUGGGGAUACCACUACCCCUCUAACCGUCCAAUCACAGGUUGGUUCGCGCUCUGGUGCAACACUUAGAGCAUCUCCACCCGUCCCCCCAAGAACACCCCGAGGACCACUUUUUUAGCCCCGGUGAUUAAAAAACCUCCACUCACGCCCCCAAAGCCUUGUUUUUUGCCAGAUUUGAGUAAAAGUAGCCCCGGCAAUCCCACCCCAUACCCAGCCCCCUGGGGGGGGGAGCUGGGGAGGCCGGUGCUAUUUUUUGCAUCAUGUGGCCCACCUGCAGCCACAUCUCCUCCCCACCUUCUCUCUCCGUCGCUUUCUCCUUGCAACGCCCCCACCUUCUCUCUCCCCAUCCACUUCUCUCUGCCCGGCUGCUUGCCGCCGCCGAGCUCUCUGAUGACCCACAAGUAUAGGGGAUCUAUCAUAGUCCUUUCGAUAAGUAAGAGUGUCAAACCCAAUGAGGAGUAGAAGGAAAUGACAAGCGGUUUUCAGUAAGGUAUUCUCUGCAAGCACUGAAAUUGUAGGUAACAAAUAUUUUUGUGAUAGGAUAAUUUGUAACGAGUAACAAGCAAUGAAAGUAAAUAAGGUGCAGCAAGGUGGCCCAAUCCUUUUUGUAGCAAAGGACAAGCCUGUACAAUUUCUUAUAAUGAGAAAAGCGAUCCCGAGGACACAUGGGAAUUAUCGUCAAGCUAGUUUUCAUCAUGCUCAUGUGAUUCACGUUUGUUACUUUGAUAAUUUGAUAUGUGGGUGGACCAGUGCUUAGGUACUGUCCUUUCUUGGACAAGCAUCCCACUUAUGAUUAACCCCUAUUGCAGGCAUCCGCAACUACAUAAGAAGUAUUAAGGUAAACCUAACCAUGGCAUGAAACUAGUGGAUCCAAAUCAGCCCCUUACGAAGCAACGCAUAAACUAGGGUUUAAGCUUCUGUCACUCUAGCAACCCAUCAUCUACUUAUUACUUCCCAAUGCCUUUCUCUAGGCCCAAAUAAUGGUGAAGUGUCAUGUAGUCGACGUUCACAUAACACCACUAGAGGAGCGACAACAUACAUCUUAUCAAAAUAUCGAACGAAUACCAAAUUCCCAUGACUACUAAUAGCAAGACUUCACCCAUGUCCUCAGGAACAAACGUAACUACUCACAAAGCAUAUUCAUGUUCAUGAUCAGAGGAGUAUUAAUAUGCAUUAAGGAUCUGAACAUAUGAUCUUCCACCAAAUAAACCAAUUAGCAUCAACUACAAGGAGUAAUCAACACUACUAGCAACCCACAGGUACCAAUUUGUGGUUUUGAUACAGGAUUGGAUACAAGAGAUGAACUAGGGUUUGAGAGGAGAUGGUGCUGGUGAAGAUGUUGAUGGAGAUUGACCCCCUCCUGAUGAGAGGAUCGUUGGUGAUGACGAUGGUGAUGAUUUCCCCCUCCCGGAGGGAAGUUUCCCCGACAGGACAGCUCCGCUGACGCCCUGGAUUGGUUUCGCCAAGGUUCCGCCUGGCGGCGGAGUUUCGUCCCGUAAGCUUGCUUAUGAUUUUUUUCAGGGUAAGAGACUUCAUAUAGCAGAAGAUGGGCACCGAAGGGCCACCAAGGGGCCCAUGAGGCAGGGGGCGCACCCAGUAGGGGUGGGUGCGCCCCCCACCCUCGUGGCCAGGGUGUGGCCCCCUCUAGUACUUCUUUCGCUCAAUAAUUCUUAUUAAUUCCAAAAAUGACUUUCUUGGAGUUUCAGGACUUUUGGAGCUGUGCAGAAUAGGUUUCCAAAGUUUGCUACUUUUCCAGCCCAGAAUUCCAGCUGCUGGCAUUCUCCCUCUUCAUGAUAAACCUUGUAAAAUAAGAGAGAAUAGCCAUAAGUAUUGUGACAUAACGUGUAAUAACAUCCCAAUAUGCAAUAAAUAUUGAUAUAAAAGCAUGAUGCAAAAUGGACGUAUCACUCUCUGGCACCGGCUCCGGGUGGCCGGCCCGUGCCCGGCCGGCUCCCCCCAUCCCGCCUCCGCAUGCCAGCCCACGUCCCUGCUCCAGCUGGCUUGGCCGCCCGCGCCAGCCUGCUCCGCCCCUGUGCGCCCCGCAUCCGCCGUGCAUUCGCGCCCGCUGAAGGAGCUCGUCGACCAUGGCCCCUGCCUCCGGCAAUUCAAGCGCUGGCCUUGUCCUCGGCGCCGCCCAGGUACCGCCCGUUGACGAACACGCGCGGGAGCGUGGUGUUGGGGCCGGUGAGGAGCUAGGCGAGCUCGGAGUUGAAGGCGGCGUGCAUGGACAUGUUGCGCUCGUCCACGCGCACGUCGUAGCUGCGCAGGAAGCUGCGCAUGGUGCAGUCAUCCACAAACGUCUUGCGCACACCGCAGAGGCUGGUGAAGUACACCACCGCCUUUGGCUUGCCGCCCGGAGGCCCUACCACCUUUGCGUUGUAGGCGCCGUUGCUCGUCCUCCGCUCUAGGUUCUUUUCUUGGAACGCGUUUAUGCGGGUGCGCACAAUGCCGGCAAGCUCCGGCAUGUCCCUGGUGGGCGGCGAGACCGGCGUGCAUGCACUUGCAUCGGUGUCGUCCUUCUUUAUCCUUCUGCGACACAUGUUCCUCCUCCUCUUUGUCCGCGGGUGAGCUCACGGUGUCCCUGCUAGGCUUCGAAACUUUCGUGCAUGUGAUAACCCACAAGUAUAGGGGAUCGCAAUAGAUUUCGAGGGUAGAGUAUUCAACCCAAAUUUAUUGAUUCGACACAAGGGGAGCCAAAGAAUAUUCUUGAGUAUUAGCAGUUGAGUUGUCAAUUCAACCACACCUGGAUAACUUAGUAUCUGUAGCAAAGUGUUUAGUAGCAAAAGUGGUAUGAUAAUAAAGGUAACGGUAGAAAAAGUAAAGAUAAAUGUUUUGGGGUUUUUGUAGUAGUUGUAACAGUAGCAACGGAAAAGUAAAUAAGCGAAGAACAAUAUGUGAAAAGCUCAUAGGCAAUGGAUCGGUGAUGGAUAAUUAUGUCGGAUGUGAUUCCUCAUGCAAUAGUUAUAACAUAGGGUGAUAUAGAACUAGCUCCAAUUCAUCAAUGUAAUAUAGGCAUGUAUUCCGUAAAAAGCCAUACGUGCUUAUGGAAAAGAACUUGCAUGACAUCUUUUGUCCUACCCUCCCGUGUUCAGUGGGGUCCUUACGGAAACUAAGGGAUAUUAAGGCAUCCUUUUAAUAGAGAACCGGACCAAAGAAUUAACACAUAGUGAAUACAUGAACUCCUCAAACUACAGUCAUCACCGAGAAGUAUCCCGAUUAUUGUCACUUCGGGGUUGUCGGAUCAUAACACAUAAUAGGUGACUAUAGACUUGCAAGAUACGAUCAAGAACACAGAUAUAUUCAUGAAAACAUAAUAGGUUCAGAUCUGAAAUCAUGGCACUCGGGCCCUAGUGAAAAGCAUUAAGCAUAGCAAAGUCAUAGCAACAUCAAUCUCAGAACAUAGUGGAUACUAGGGAUCAAACCCUAACAAAACUAACUUUAUUACAUGGUAAAUCUCAUCCAACCCAUCACCGUCCAGCAAGCCUACGAUGGAAUUACUCACGCACGGUGGUGAGCAUCAUGAAAUUGGUGAUGGAGGAUGGUUAAUGAUGAUGACGGCGACGAAUCCCCCUCUCUGGAGCCCCGAACGGACUCCAGAUCAGCCCUCCCGAGAGAGAUUAGGGCUUGGCGGCGGCUCCAUGUCAUGAAACGCGAUGAAACUUUUUUCUUGAUUUUUUCCUCCCCGAGAUAGUAUAUAUGGAGUUGGAGUUGAGGUCGAAGGAGGUCCAGGGGGCCCACGAGAUACGAGGGUGCGCCCUAGGGGGGCGCCCCCCUGUCUCGUGGACAGCCCGUGGGCCCCCUGGCCUUGAUUCUUUCGCCAAAAAUUCUUAUUAAUUCUGAAAAGUGCCUCCGUGGAUUUCCAGGACAUUCGGAGAACUUUUCUUUUCUACACAUAAAACAACAUCAUGGCAGUUCUGCUGAAAACAACGUCAGUCCGGGUUAGUUUCAUUCAAAUCAUGCAAGUUAGAGUCCAAAACAAGGCCAAAAGUGUUUGGAAAAGUAGAUACGUUGGAGACGUAUCAACUCCCCCAAGCUUAAACCUUUGCUUGUCCUCAAGCAAUUCAGUUGAUAAACUGAAAGUGAUAAAGAAAAAAUUUUACAAACUCUGUUUGCUCUUGUUAUUGUAAACAUGAAAAGCCAGCAUUCAAGUUUUAGCAAAUACUAUGAACUAACCAUACUCACAAUAGCACAUAGGUCUCACAAUUACUCAUAUCAAUAGCAUAAUCAGCUAGCGAGCCAUAAUAAUAAAACUCGGAUGACAACACUUUCUCAAAAUAAUCAUAACAUUAUAUAACAAAAUGGUAUCUCGCUAGCCCUUUCUGAGACCGCAAAACAUAAAUGCAGAGCACCUUUAAAGAUCAAGGACGGACUAAACAUUGUAAUUCAUGGUAAAAGAGAUCCAGUCAAGUCAUACCCAAUAUAAACAAUAAUAAUGAAUGCAAAUGAUAGUGUGCUCUCCAGCGGGUGCUUUUUAAUAAGAAGGGUGAUGACUCAACAUAAAAGUAAAUAGAUAGGCCCUUCGCAGAGGGAAGCAGGGAUUUGUAGAGGUGCCAGAGCUCAAUUUUAAAAUAAAGAUUGAAUAACAUUUUGAUCGGCAUACUUUCGCUGUCAAUUCAACAACUAUGAGAUGGUUGUAUCUUCCAUACUACAUGCAUUAUAGGCAGUUCCCAAACAGAAUGGUAAAGGUUUAUACUCCCCCAACCACCAACAAGCAUCAAUCCAUGGCUUGCUCGAAACAACGAGUUCCUCCACCAUACAAUAGCCCUGGGGGAGUUUUGUUUAAUUAUUAUGAUUUUCUUUGAUCUUUUUGGAUCAUGGGACUGGGCAUCCUGGUUACCGGCCCUUUCUUGUGAAUGAGGAGCGGAGUCCACUCCUCUUGAGAAUAACCCACCUAGCAUGGAAGAUAUAGGCAGCCCUAGUUGAAACAUGAGCUGCUCGAGCAUACAAAACAGAAUUUCAUUUGAAGGUUUGGAGCUUGGCACAUACAAAUUUACUUGGAACGGCAGGUAAAUACCGCAUAUAGGAAGGUAUGGUGGACUCAUAUGGAACAACUUUGGGGUUUAAGGAGUUUGGAUGCACAAGCAGUAUUCCUGCUUAGUACAAGUGAAGGCUAGCAAAAGACUGGGAAGUGACCAACUAAGAGAGCGACAACAGUCGUAAGCAUGGAUUAGAAUUAAUUCACACCAAAUACAAGCAUGAGUAGGAUAUAAUCCACCAUGAACAUAAAUAUCAUGAAGGCUAUGUUAAUUUGAUUCAACUAGAUGCGUGAACAUGUGCCAAGUCGAGUCACUUAAUACAUUCAAAGGAGGAUACCAUCCCAUCAUACCACAUCAUAAUCAUUCUAAUAGCAUGUUGGCACGCAAGGUAAACCAUUAUAACUCAUAGCUAAUCAAGCAUGGCACAAGUAACUAUAAUCUCUAAAUGUCAUUACAAAUAUGUUUACUUCAUAAUAGUUGACUCAAGAACGAUGAAUCAUCAUAUUUACAAAAAUAAAAGAUGUCGAGUUCAUACCAGCUUUUCUCAUCCCAAUAAGUCCAUCAUAAAUCAUCAUUAUUGCCUUUCACUUGCACGACCGAACGAUGUGUAUAUUAAUAAGAGUGCAUGUGCAUUGGACUAAGGUGGAAUCUGCAAGCAUUCAACUCAAGAGAGAAGACAAAUAAUAUGGGCUCUAAGUUAAAUGAUCAAUCAUGCAUAUAAGAUCCACUAAGCAUUUUCAAUAUGGUCUUCUCGACCCCCAAAAGAAAGAAAAGAAAAUAAAACUAUUUACACGGGAAAGCUCCCAACAAGUAAAAGAAGAACGAGAAAUCUUUUUGGGUUUUCAUUUUAAUUUCUACUACAAGCAAGGAAAUUAAACUAACUAUUUUUUUUGGUUUUUCUUAAGGUUUAACAAACACACAAGAAGAAAGCUAGAAAAAGAAAUUUAAACUAACAUGGAUAAUACAAUGAAUGAGUAUGAGCACCAACGACUAGUGUGUGAACAUGAAUGUAAAGUCGGUGAGAAAUACAUACUCCCCCAAGCUUAGGCUUUUGGCCUAAGUUGGUCUAAUACCAGUGACCGCCUGGCUGAUAUCCAUAAUUGAAACUGGGGUAGUACUGAGAUGAAGAGGCAACCGCCUCCUGAGCAGCAGCGUGUUGGCGAGCUGCCUCCAUUCCCCUCUCAUAUUCAGUGGCUUCUUCCCUGGUGACAACAUAUCUUCCUUUUGUCUGAUAAUCAAAAAGGUAUGGAGCAGGAAGAGUAACAGGGACGACGUUGUGUCUAUUAUAGGUUAGUCGAUAAAGGAGGAAUUGUUCCUUCCUCUCAAGAAAAUGAUGGUCAAACAUAGCUUCUUUAUCCAAAUAAACAGGAGGUACAAUCAUAUCCCCUCUCGUGGAGCUAUAUUAAGAAAAUUAGCCACACGGGUUGCAUAAAUUCCUCCAAAGAAAUCUCCCCUUCUAUUAUUAUUAUGCAACCUACGUGCAACUAUUGCCCCCAAGUUAUAACCUCUAUAACCUGACACAGCACUCUUGAGGACACAAAGAUCAGGGGCACACAUGUGACAUACUUCGUCCUUACCGUUAAUGCAUCUACCAAUAAAGAGAGCAAAGUAAUGUAUAGCAGGAAAAUGAAUGCUCCCUAUGGUAGCUUGUGUUACGUCCCUAGAUUCUCCCACAGUAAUACUAGCAAGAAAAUUUCUAACUUCAGAUUUGGGAGGAUCAUUAAUAUUACCCCACUGCGGGAGUUUGCAGGCAGUACUAAAAUCCUCUAAAUCCAUGGUAUAAGAUGUAUCAUAAAUAUCAAACAUAACACUAGGAGAAUUACGCGAAGAAAUAUAUUCGAACCUCCGCACAAAGGAAUCAGUUAAUUGAUAAUAUUGAGGACACUUAUCUUGUAAGAAGUCCUCCAACUCAUCAUUACGCACAUACGCGUCAAAUUCCUCCUUGAAGCCUGCUUCGACCAUAAAAUCAUCGGAUGGCCACUUGCAAGCCCGUACAUUUGCGUCCCUUGGCAAAUUAACAUCUUGUUCACGUAUAGCAAUCCUGGGCCCUUUCUUUGCCGAGGAACCACAUUGGUACAUUCUUCUAAGCAUAUUUCUUUUUCUGAUUUUUUUGAAAUUUUAGUAACUUCAAAAUAAAAGUGGAUAAAACUAAACAAGAUUGAUAGCAACUACUCCUACAAGUGCCUAGAGCCUAUAUCAUGCAUUGGAAUUGCUUGGGACCUCAAAAUUUUAACAUGCAAGCUCAAGAACAUGGUCACCUAUGCAGCAAAAAUUUGCAAUGAAUAAAGCACUAGAACAAAAACUAAUUGGACCAACGAAGGAGUCACAUACCAAGCAACAAUCUCCCAAAGCAGUUUUGCGAAUGGAGCUUUGAGCUAAGAGAUCAAAAAUCGCAGCAAAACGAGCUAGAACUCUGGCUUGAGCUGGAUGGGGAUUUUUUUGGGUAGAAGAUGGAGUGUGUGGGUGCUGGCAUAAGUGGAGGGGAGCCACCAGGGGCCCACAAGACAGGGGGGCGCGCCCCCUAGGGGCGCGCCCUCCUCUCUCGUGGCCUGGUGCUUGGCCCUCCUGCAGUGUUUUCAGUGCCUUAAAUCCUCAAAUAUUCUAGAAAAAAUCCUACUAAAUUUGCACGACAUUUGGAGCAAUUUUAUUUUUGGACUAUUUUUUAAUGCACGGAUAAUUCAGAAAACAGACAGAUAACACUAUUUUUUCUUUAUUUAUUCUAAAUAACGGAAAGUAAAAAGAGGGUACAGAAGGUUAUGCCUUCUAGUUUCAUCCAUCUCGUGAUCAUCAAAAUGAAUCCACUAACAAGGUUGAUCAAGUCUUGUUAACAAACUCAUUCCGAAUAACACGGAACCGGAGAAAUUUCGAAUAACACUAAGUUACCUCAACAGGGAUAUGGAAAUCUCCAACAAUAAGAAUAUCAUACUUUUUCUUGACAAUAGGGAGAGGAAAUUCAAAACCUCCAAAAAUGAUAGUUGGAACUUUUUCAAUAGAAUUGAUGCUAUGAACUUGAGAUUGUUUCCUCGGAAAGUGUACCAUAUGCUCAUUACCAUUAACAUGAAAAUUGACAUUGCCUUUGUUGCAAUCAAUAACAGCCCCUGCAGUAUUGAGAAAAGGACUACCAAGGAUAAUAGACAUACUAUCGUCCUCGGGAAUAUCAAGAAUAACAAAGUCUGUUAAGAUAGUGACAUUUGCAACCACAACAGGCACAUCCUCACAAAUACCGACAGGUAUAAUAGUUGAUUUAUCAGCCAUUUUCAAAGAUAUUUCAGUAGGUGUCAACUUAUUCAAUUCAAGUCUACGAUAUAAAGAGAGAGGCAUAACACUAACACCGGCUCCAAGAUCACAUAAAGCAGUUCUAACAUGAUUUGUUUUAAUAGAGCAUGGUAUAGUUGGUACACCCGGAUCUCCAAGUUUCUUUGGUAUUCCACCCUUAAAAGUGUAAUUAGCAAGCAUGGUGGAAAUUUCAGCUUCCGGUAUCUUUCUUUUAUUUGUGAUGAUAUCCUUCAUAUAUUUAGCAUAUCAGUUAAGCGCAUAUGUAAGAAAAUAGGUCUAAUCAUUUCAGCAAAGCGCUCAAAAUCCUCAUCAUCCUUUGACUUGGAUGGUUUAGGAGGAAAGGACAUGGGUUUCUGAACCCAUGUUUCUCUUUCUUUGCUGUGCUUCCUAGCAACAAAAUCUCUCUUAUCAUAACAUUGAUUUGAUUGUGGGUUAUCAAGAUCAACAGCAGGUUCAAUCUCUACAUCAUUGUCUUUGCUAGGUUGAGCAUCAACAUGAACAUUAUCAUUAACAUUAUCACUAGGUUUAUGUUCAUCACCUGAUUGUAUUUCAGCAUCAGAAAUAGAAAUAUCAUUGGGAUUCUCAGGUGUGUCUACAGUAGGUUCAUUAGAAGCAUGCAAUGUCCUAUCGUCUUUCUUUUUCUUCUUCUGAGAAGAACUAGGUGCCUCUAAAUUAUUUCUCUGAGAAUCUUGCUCGAUUCUCUUAGGGUGGCCUUCAGGAUAUAAAGGUUCCUGAGUCAUUCUACCAGUUCUAGUAGCCACUCUAACCGCAAAGUCAUUUUUAUUAUUCAAUUCCCCAAGCAAAUCAUUUUGAGCUUUAAGUACUUGCUCAUCUUGAGUAGCAACCAUAGAAGCAUAUUUGCUAACGCAGUGAAGUUCAUCUUUAACUCUAGCCAGAUUAUCACCUACGCGUCCUAUCUCGAAAGCAUUAUUCUUUAACUCUCUACCAACAUAAGCAUUAAAACUUUCUUCUCUAGCCAUAAAGUCAUCAAAUUCAUCUAAGCAUGGGCUAUGAAAUUUAGUAGAGGGUAUUUCAACUUUAUCAUAUCUAUAGAGAGAAUUUACCUUUACUACCUGUGUAGGGUUAUCAAGACAAUGUGGUUCUUCAGGCGGUAAAUUAAGACCAUGUAUUUCUUCAAUAGGAGGUAAAUUCUUAACAUCUUCAGCUUUAAUACCUUUUUCUUUCAUUGAUUUCUUUGCCUCUUGCAUAUCUUCACGACUGAGAAAUAAAACACCUCUCUUCUUCGGAGUGGGUUUAGGAAUAGGCUCAGGAGUUGGCUCAAUUGGUUCAGGAAUUACUUCAGGAACUGGCUCAGGAAGAGUCCAAUUAUUUUCAUUAGUCAACAUAUUAUUCAAUAGUAUUUCAGCUUCAUCGACUGUUCUUUCCCUGAAAACACAACCAGCACAACUAUCCAAGUAGUCCUUGGAAGCAUCGGUUAGUCCAUUAUAAAAGAUAUCAAGUAUUUCAUUUUUCUUAAGAGGAUGAUCAGGCAAAGCAUUAAGUAACCGGAGAAGCCUCCCCCAAGCUUGUGGGAGACUCUCUUCUUUGAUUUGCACAAAACUAUAUAUUUCCCGCAAGGCAGCUUGUUUCUUAUGAGCAGGGAAAUAUUUAGCAGAGAAGUAAUAAAUCAUAUCCUGGGGACUACGCACACAACCAGGAGCAAGAGAAUUAUACCAAGUCUUAGCAUCAGCCUUUAAUGAGAACAGAAAUAUCUUAAGGAUAUAUAAAUAGCGAGACUUCUCAUCAUGAGUAAAUAGGGUGGCUAUAUCAUUCAACUUGGUAAGAUGUGCCACAACAGUUUCAGAUUCAAGGCCAUAAAAAGGAUCAGAUUCAACUAAAGUAAUAAUAUCAGGAUCAACAGAGAAUUCAUAGUCCUUAUCAGUAACAUAGAUAGGUGAAGUAGCAAAAGCAGGAUCAGGUUUCAUUCUAGCAUUAAGAGACUGUUGCUUCCAUUUAGCUAAUAAUUUGUUAAGAUCAUUUCUAUCAUUGCAAGCAAGAAUUUCCAUAGCAGCUUUUUCAUUCAUAACAUAACCCUUAGGAACAACAGGUAAAACAUAAUCAUUGGGGGGACGUUCAUCAUCACUAUCAUCAGUAAUAGGAUCUUCAGUAAUUUCAUUCCCCCUAAAUCUAGCAAGUUGUUCAUCAAGAAAUUCACCUAAUGGCAAAGUAGUAUCACGCGCAGAAGUAGUUUCAUCAUGCAUAGCAGAAGUGGCAUCAUCAAUAACAUGCGACAUAUCAGAACUCAUAGCAGUAGUAGGUUUAGGUGUCGCAAGCUUACUAAUAACGGAAGGAGAACCUAGUGCAAGGCUAGAUGGCAGUUCCUUACCUCCCCUCGUAGUUGAGGGCAAAAUAGUAGUUCGGUCAUCUUUCGAGUUCUUCAUAGUGAUCAACAGAUAUAAAUCCCAAGUGACUCAGAGAAUAGAGCUAUGCUCCCCGGCAACGGCGCCAGAAAUUAGUCUUGAUAACCAACAAGUAUAGGGGAUCGCAACAGCUUUCGAGGGUAGAGUAUUCAAUCCAGAUUUAUUGAUUCGACACAAGGGAGCCAAAGAAUAUUCUUGAGUAUUAGGAGUUGAGUUGUCAAUUCAACCACACUUGGAUAACUUAGUAUCUGCAACAAAGUGUUUAGUAGCAAAAGUGGUAUGAUAAUAAAGGUAACGGUAGCAAAAGUAAAGAUAAAUGUUUUUGGGCUUUUGUAGUAGCUGUAACAGUAGCAACGUAAAAGUAAAUAAGCGAAGAACAAUAUGUGAAAAGCUCGUAGGCAAUGGAUCAGUGAUGGAUAAUUAUGCCGGAUGCGAUUCCUCAUGCAAUAGUUAUAACAUAGGGUGAUAUAGAACUAGCUCCAAUUCAUCAAUGUAAUGUAGGCAUGUAUUCCGUAAAUAGUCAUACGUGCUUAUGGAAAAGAACUUGCAUGCCAUCUUUUGUCCUACCCUCCCGUGUUCAGCGGGGUCCUUACGGAAACUAAGGGACAUUAAGGCCUCCUUUUAAUAGAGAACCGGACCAAAGCAUUAACACAUAGUGAAUACAUGAACUCCUCAAACUACGGUCAUCACCGAGAAGUAUCCCGAUUAUUUUCACUUUGGGGUUGUCGGAUCAUAACACAUAAUAGGUGACUAUAGACUUGCAAGAUAGGAUCAAGAACACACAUAUAUUCAUGAAAACAUAAUAGUUUAAGAUCUGAAAUCAUGGCACUUGGGCCCUAGUGACAAGCAUUAAGCAUAGCAAAGUCAUAGCAACAUCAAUCUCAGAACAUAGUGGAUACUAGGGAUCAAACCCUAACAAAACUAACUUGAUUACAUGGUAAAUCUUAUCCAACCCAUCACCGUCUAGCAAGCCUACAAUGGAAUUACUCACGCACGGCGGUGAGCAUCAUGAAAUUGGUGAUGGAGGAUGGUGGAUCAUGACGACAGCGACGAAUCCCCCUCUCUGGAGCCCCGAACGGACUCUAGAUCAGCCCUCCCGAGAGAGAUUAGGGCUUGGCGGCGGCUUCGUGUCGUGAAACGCGAUGAAUCUUUUUUCUUGAUUUUUUUCUCCCCGAGACGGUAUAUAUGGAGUUGGAGUUGAGGUCGGAGGAGGUCCAUGAGGCCCACGAGAUAGGAGGGCGCAUCCUAGGGGGGGGGCCUGUCUCGUGGACAGCCUAUGGGCCCCCUGGCCUUGAUUCUUUCGCCAAAAAUUCUUAUUAAUUCUGAAAAGUGCCUCCGUGGAUUUCCAGGACAUUCCGAGAACUUUUCUUUUCUACACAUAAAACAACAUCAUGGCGGUUCUGCUUAAAAAAGCGUCACUCCGGGUUAGUUUCAUUCAAAUCAUGCAAGUUAGAGUCCAAAACAAGGGCAAACGUGUUUGGAAAAGUAGAUACGUUGGAGGCGUAUCAGCAUGCAGUCGCGGUGUCGGCGACCUUUGCCUCUUUCUGCGACACCGAUUCCUCCUUGUCCAUGGACGAGCACUAGUAGAAAAAGGGUCAAAUGUGAAGCACAUUAGUGCCGGUUUGAUUUUGAGCCAGCACUAAUGUGUCCAUUAGUGCCGAUUCCAACGGCUAGCCGGCCACUCUCAUUAGUACCGGUUCGUGGCGAACCUUUAGCACUGGCUCGUGCCACGAACCGGUACUAAAGAGAGUGGUGUCAGGAUGUUGUCAGUCUGGGGCCCCUCCAGCACCUUUAGUACCGAUUCGUGGCACGAACAGGUACUAAAGGUCAUCGUACAUAAACCCUUCGUCCACCCGAGCUUGCUCUGUUCUUCCCCUUUCCUCUGUCCUCCUCUGUUCUUCCCCUCUCUUCCUCGAUCUCAUCACACAUUUUGCCCAAAAUUUGUCAAGAUUUGAAGGCCCCCAUCCAUUCAAAUGAUCACAAAGGUUAGAAACUUUGUCCUUUCAUCUCUCAUUGCUAGAUUAGCUCUUGAAAUGCUUUGUAUAGUGAUUAAUUUGUGAGUUUAGUAAUUUGGGAGGAAUUAUAUGUGCUAGUAUUUGAUUUAUAUGCAAUUUGAGGUAAAAAAUAACACUUAGUUUGCAUAUGUAGUUGUGGUUUACUUAGUGCCUUCUAAAUCUCCAUCGUAACCACAGUCGAUCGCCCGCACCAUCCCGUCGCCGGCACCACCUUGUGGUGAGGCUCUUGUUCAUGAAUGUUUUACAUUACCAAAUUGAUGUUUGUGUGAUUUGGAUAUAUAGUUACUCGUAUAAUUAUCUUACCCGUAUGUUGUUGUUAUACAUAGUGCCAUGGUUUUGAUAUUCGUCCCCGUCGGCCCUCGUCCUUGUUAUGAUUUGGAUGUGUUAUAUUCUCUUUUAAAACUAGUUGUUGCAUUUCGUGUUUAUGACAAAUUAUGCCCAUCAAGUUGACAUAGAUAUUUUUAUCUAGGAGGUAUGUGAACCGAAAAUUCCAACCGACGCUAUUGUCGAGAGGUUAAAUUUAGUUGAAAGAGAAAACGAGUAUUUGAAAGAAAAAUUGAAAAGAAUUGAGGGGAAGAAGAUGGAAUUGGAGUUGCAUGUUGCCGAUGUCGUCGAUGAUCACAAGAUCAAGAUGGAGAAAAUGCACUUCAAGAUUAGAAAGAUUAGAAAAUAUGCCAUUGAUAGUGUGGCUUGGUAUCAUUAUGCUGUUGGAUCAAUUGUUACCUUAGUUGCAAUCUUGAUCGCAUUUGUUGUUGCAUUUAAAUUCUUUAGCUAGAGAGUUAUUUGUAUGUUGCAUUUAAUUAAGUGUUGUAUAUGAACUUUAUGUAUGAACUUGUAUUAAUUUGGUCUAUUCAGUGUUGUGUAAUGAAGAUGAUCCGACUAUGGAUGUAUGAUGACUGAUGCUCUCCCGAGUGCAUUAAUCGCGUGCAUACUUUUCUGCUUGCUGCUGAGGCAAACAAGCGGGCGGAUAGUUUUAUGCCUUGUCCAUGUGCUGACUGUAAGAAUGGUCACAAUUACUCUAUGUCAAGAACAUAUUCACGUCCACCUAUUUGAGUCCGGUUUCAUGCCCCACUAUAAUGUUUGGACCAAGCACGGAGAAAGAGGGGUUAUGAUGGAAGACAAUGAAGAAGAAGAGGACGACCACAACUAUCUUUGCCAUGGGUUCCCUGAAUACGAUGAUACAACAAUAGGGUAAGAAGCUGAGCCGGCAAUGUGGGAAGAAGCUGAAGAAGAGGCAUCAGAUGAGCCCGCUGAUGAUCUAGGUCGGGCCAUUGCCGAUGCAAAGAGAAACUGCGCAAGUGAUUUGGAGAAGAAGAAGUUGCAGCGCAUGUUAGAGGAUCACAAGAAAUUGUUGUACCCGAAUUGCGAAGCUGACAAAAAAAGUUGGGCACCACACUGGAAUUGCUGCAAUGGAAGGCAGAGAAUGGUGUAUCUGACAAGGGAUUUGGAAAGUUACUGGUAAUGAUAAAGAAUAUGCUUCCAAAGGACAACAAAUUGCCCGAGAGUACGUAUGAAGCAAAGAAGGUUGUCUGCCCUCUAGGGUUAGAGGUGCAGAAGAUACAUGCAUGCCCUAAUGACUGCAUCCUCUAUCGUGGUGCGUACGAGGAUUUGAACGCUUGCUCGGUAUGUGGUGCAUUGCGUUAUAAGAUCAGUGGCGAUGACCCUGGUGAUGUCGAGGGCGAGCACCCCAGGAAGAAGAAUCCUGCCAAGGUGAUGUGGUAUGCUCCUAUAAUACCACGGUUGAAACGUUUGUUCCAAAACAAAGAGCAUGCGAAGGUGAUGCGGUGGCACGGAGAAGACCGUAAGAAAGACGGAAAGUUGAGAGUACUCGCUGAAAGGUCGCAGUGGAGAAAAAUCGAGAGAAAGUAUAGGGAGGAGUUUGCAGGUGACCCAAGGAACGUAUGGUUUGGUCUAAGCGCAGAUGGCAUUAAUCCUUUUGGGGAGCAGAACAACAACCAUAGCACCUGGCCUGUGACUCUAUGUUUGUAUAAGCUUCCUCCUUGGUUGUGCAUGAAGCGGAAGUUCAUUAUGAUGCCAGUGCUCAUCCGAGGCCCUAAGCAACCCGGCAAUGACAUUCAUGUGUACCUAAGGCCAUUAGUUGAAGAACUAUUACAGCUAUGGAAUGGAACAGGUGUACGUGCGUGGGAUGAGCACGGACAGGAAGAAUUUGACCUAAAGGUGUUGCUGUUCGUGACCAUCAAUGAUUGGUCUGCUCUCAGUAACCUUUCAGGACAGACAAACAAGGGAUACCGCGGAUGCAUGCACUGUUUAGAUGAUACCGACAGUAUAUAUUUGGAUAGUUGUAGGAAGAAUGUGUACCUGGGACAUCGUCGAUUUCUUCCGAGCAUGCAUCCCGUAAGAAAGAAAGGCAAGCAUUUCAAAGGUGGGGCGGAUCACCGGACGAAGCCUUGCCACCGUACUGGUGCUGAUGUACAUGAUAUGGUCAAGGAUUUGAAGGUAAUCUUUGGAAAGGGUCCUGGCGGACAACCUAUUCCGAAGGACGCUGACGGACGCGCACCCAUGUUGAAGAAGAAAUCUAUAUUUUGGGACCUGCCAUAUUGGAAAGACCUAGAGGUCCGCUCCGCAAUCGAUGUGAUGCACGUGACGAAGAAUCUUUGCGUGACCCUGCUUGGCUUCUUGGGCGUGUAUGGGAAGACAAAAGAUACACCAGAGGCACGGGAGGACCAGCAACGUAUGCACGGAAAAGACGGCAUACAUCAGGGUCAGGCCAGCUACGCUCUUACCAAAGAAGAGAAGGAAAUCUUCUUUGAAUGCCUGCUCAGUAUGAAGGUACCGUCUGGCUUCUCGUCGAAUAUAAAGGGAAUAAUAAAUAUGGCAGAGAAAAAGUUCCAGAACCUAAAGUCUCAUGACUGCCACGUGAUUAUGACGCAACUGCUUCCGGUUGCAUUGAGGGGGCUUCUACCGGAAAACGUUCGAUUAGCCAUUGUGAAGCUAUGUGCAUUCCUCAAUGCAAUCUCUCAGAAGGUAAUCGAUCCAGAAAUCAUACCAAGGUUACAGAAUGAUUUGGUGCAAUGUCUUGUCAGUUUCGAGUUGGUGUUCCCACCAUCGUUCUUCAACAUCAUGACGCACGUCCUAGUUCACCUUUGCGAAGAGAUUAACGUUUUGGGUCAUGUAUUUCUACACAAUAUGUUCCCCUUUGAGAGGUUCAUGGGAGUCUUGAUGAAAUAUGUUCAUAGCCAUGCUAGGCCAGAAGGAAGCAUCUCGAAGGGCCAUGAAAAUGAGGAGGUCAUUGAGUUUUGUAUUGACUUUAUUCCUGACCUUAAGCCGAUUGGUGUUCCUGAAUCGCGGCAUAACGGCAGACUGGAUGGAAAAGGCACGCUAGGAGGGCAUCAAAUAAUAUGUAUGGAUGGGCAUUCUCUCACUGAAGCACACUACACAGUUCUACAGAAUUCCGCCUUGGUGGCUCCGUAUAUGGAGGAACACAAGAAUUUUCUACACUCCAAACAACCGGAGCAGUCUGACGACUGGAUUACACAUGAACAAACGAGGACUUUCGUCGGUUUGGUUGCAGAAAUGUGCCAUGCAUGAUGGCGAUAUUGAAGAUGACAUGUACUCACUGUCCCAGUUACCAUCUUUGAAUAUAAUGACUUUCAAAGGGUACGAGAUAAAUGGGAAUACAUUUUACAGGAUCGCCCAAGAUAAGAAGAGCACCAACCAAAAUAGUGGUAUCCGCUUUGAUGCAACAACCCAACACGGGAAAGGAAACAUAUUAUGGUUACAUAGAGCAUAUAUGGGAACUUAACUAUGGAGGUGGUUUGUAGGUCCCUUUGUUUCGGUGCAAAUGGGUCAAUAUGACACGAGGCGGGGUAACGGAAGACCCGCAGUACGGAAUGACAACAAUGAAUCUCAACAAUCUUGUGUAUGCAGACGAACCAUUCGUCCUAGCCAAUGUGGUGUCGCAGGUUUUUUUAUGUGAAAGACAUGUCUACUAGGACAAGAAAAAGAAAAGAUAAGGAAGCGAAUGGAUCAUACGACGAGCCAAAGCGCCACAUAGUUCUUUCAGGGAAAAGAAACAUCAUGGGAGUGGAUGACAAGACAGACAUGUCAGAAGAUUAUGAAAAGUUUGAUGAAAUUGCUCCAUUCACAAUGAAUUUUGACCCGAGCAUCCAGUUAAAUGAUGAAGAUUUUCCAUGGCUACGGCGCAAAGGGACACGCGCGAAGAAAAAGUUUCACACCCAAAGACCUGGGAUGUGAUCGGCUUCACUAUCAUCACUUUCUUCUGUGUUUCGCACCCAGGAGGGAAUCUCUAUAAUAGUUAGGGUAGUUAUGUGUUUUGGCAUUUGAAACGCGAAGAAAUUUUAUGUGCAAACAAAUUCUUUCAUGCAUUGACUGAUUUUUUCAGCUAAAUGACCCUGAAAUUGAAAAGCAUUUCAAAUGAACUUAGAAAAGGUUGAAAGUUGGCAUAGUAUCAUAAUUUCACCCACAUAGCAUGUGCAAAAAAGUAGAGAGGGUUACGACAAAAACUGGAUGCACUUCGUGCACAAAAUGGACAAUCUCUUUCGAAGUAUCAGGGUUUCGGACGAAAACUCAUCUGAUACAAAGGCAUUUCAUUUUUUAAAUAACCUAAGAAUUACCAAAUUGAAUAUAAUGAUAAAACACACUAAUAUUAAACAUAAGAAAAAAGAAUCACUGAAAAAUCUAUUUUCAAAGUUAAGUUAUUCACAAACUCGUGAUUCACACAAAUUUCAAAUAGUUCAAAAUUUAAACUAUUCAAAUUUGAAAACUACCGGCACUAACAGAAAGUUUGUAAUUUUUUUUACCUAAAGCAAAAAUAUUCACAAAGAAACUCUAAAUACAGCAAAAAAACAACUCAAAAUAAAUAAAACAAAAAUAAAUAAAGCAAAAAAUUAAGAAAAUAAAAAAGCCUGCCUACUAGGCCAGAGCGGCCUGCAUACGACUAGAAACACAACGUUUUGUUGGGCCAGGAUGCAGGCCCGCAAAGGCCCAGUAGGCCCACAGGGCAGCAGAGAACGGGUAGGCCCAGUAGGCCUGCUUUGGAGAGGAGCUCGAGAGAGCUACCGCACUGGGGCUUAUAAACCAAUGUGGACGCCCCUCGGCUAGCGAGGUGGGACUAAACUUGCCGCACCGCACCUGCGCCAGCGCACCCCCUUUAGUACCGGGUGGUGGCUCCAACCGGUACUAAAGAGGUGGUCUUUAGUACGAGUUGGUGCCACCACCCGGUACUAAAGGGGGGGCGCUUUCCACCGCUUGGCCUGGCCAAAACAGACAUUUAGUAUCGGUUGGUGGCUCCAACCGGUACUAAAGGGGUGUUCUAUAUAAGAAACCACUUCAAAAAAAUUCAGUUUCUCAUCUCUCCCUGCUUCUUUCUCCUCUUCCCCGUCGCCACCGCCCCUCGUCGCCGCCCCCGUCGCUGUCGCCGCCCCAGCCGUCCCCAUCCCCGUCGUCCCCGUCGCCGCGCCGCGCCCCGUCCCCGUCCCCGUCAUCGCCGCCACAUCCACAUCCCCGUCGUCACCGCCCGUCUCCGUCCUUGUCGUCGCCCCCCGUAGCCGCGCCUCGCCGGUGAGCUCAUGCCCCGGCCGCCAUGUCCACACACACACACACACACACACACACACACACACACACAUUAGUUUUUUAGUUAUAAAUUUUAGUUAUAGAAAUUUUUCUGUUUUUUAGUUAUAGAAAUAUCUAUAGAAAUGUUAGAAAUUUUUCUGUUUUUUAGUUAUAGAAAUAUUAGAAAUGUUAGUUAUAUAGAAAUGUUAUAAAUUUUUUUCUGUUUUUUAGUUAUAGAAAUGUUAGCAAUUUUUCUGUUUUUAUUUAUAGAAAUAUUAGGAAUGUUAUGGAAAUGUUAGUUAUAUAUAUAUAUAGAAAUUUUAGAAAUUUUAGAAUUAGUUUUAGUUAUAUGAAUUAGAUUAAUGUCAAAUUGUUAGAAUUUGCAUAUAGAAUUUUAGUUAUCACAAUCCAAUCAUUUAAAAAAUGUUACUUUUUGUGGGCAUAUAGUAUUUGUUCUCGACGAUAUGCCCAGCCCGCAUCCUCGCCGUCGACCCGUUCGCGACGAUGUCCGGCUGACCCAUGUCCGGGACUGGGCUCCAUCGGGCUGGCACUGGAAGGUGCUACCUGGAGGGGCGCGCCACUUGGUGAGGAACCCGGCCUCGGGUCCCGUCGUUAACCCUGAUCUCCUUUGGUGGCGUUCGCAUGGGCCACAUUCGGUGCAGAGGGAGCCGGCCCCGCCUGAGGUGGUGCGUCGCCGUGUUAAGGAGGAGGACGAGCACGUCCAUCGCUACAUGGCUGCUAUGGACGUCAGGUUCUCCAAUACUUGGCAGGUUCUUUGUGCAGAUGACCGGAGAUAUGAUCAUGUGAUGGUUCCUUCUCUUUGGGUGUCCACCGCCCAUGCCCCAGGAACCGCGAGUGGCCUAGAUUCUUCUGUAGUACUCGAUCUUUAUUAGGUACCUAGCCAGUGAUGUAUUCGAUAUAUAAUAUUAGAGACGAUUUAUUCAAGAUUAUAUAUAUUAUUCGAAACAAUGUAUUCGAGAUUAUAUAUUAAUCGAGAUGAUGCAUAUUAUGUACUAUAUGAUUAAGUUUUUCCUUAUUGAUUGCAUCCAUGCAUUGUAAUUUGAAUACUAAAUUGUUUUAUAUUUCUUCUGUAUUAGUUAAGUAAAAGCUAUGGCGGACAAUACCGGCAGAGAGAGAGAAGAGGAAUUGUUCGACAUCAUACGCAGCCCUCGCAGGCUAGAUGAUCUGAAUGAAGCAGAUGACGGCUCCCAAUAUCUGAAAAAUACCGGAGAGGGUGAUGAUACGAUAUUCGAUCUCGACGACCGAGCUGAUGAAGUCAUGAACUAUGAUUAUGAUUAUGAUGACACAAACAAUGUUUAUGAUGACACAGUCAAUGCUGAUCUUGAAAUAACAAAGACUACCGGUGAGGUAUAUUUAUAUAAGCAGGCAUCUGGUGAUCAUCACAUGUUUUUUAUUUGAAGAUAUAUUAACGAAUCGAUCUUUCUUCUUUCAGCCCUCCGGAUCGAGCAAAUCUGCUUCUACAGACAGUAGGACAAAGCGACGCCCGAGAAAAAAGUUGAAGGAGGGUCUAAAGUACAACAUCGACUCCAUCAAACCUAGUGGCGAGCCCCUCACGCCUAAGAACAUUGCGAACAAGUGGACUCGUCAGUGCGGAGUUCUUGUGAAGGACCAACUCCCGAUCUCGAUUCAAGAAUGGAAAGAGCCAAAAACUAAAUGCCCAGGUGUUACUUGGGUCGACGACAGAGCAAAAAAACCUUUGGGAAUCUCUGAUGGAACAUUUCACCCUACCAGAUUAUUUCACUGAUGCAGAUGUGCAGAAAGUCAAGGACGCUGGUCUUAAGAAGAUGGCAGUUGCAUUCAACACCCACAAGAAAACUGUAUGGGCCAACUACCUCGCUGCAGAAAGGAAGACUCCAGAAUUCACGGGAACACUAGAGAAGCAAAGAGAACACUGGGCCGAUUUUGUGAAAUUCAAGGAAUCAGAAUUAUCUAAGGAACGGUCGAUAAAAAACAAGGCCAAGGCCGCAAAAAAGACGCAGUUCCAUAGGCUAGGUCCAGGUGGCUACGCGGUGGGAAUGCCUAAGUGGGGUAAGUCUGAGCAAGAGAUGGAGGAUGCAGGGGUCAUUCCGGUUACUAGGAGUUGGGCCCCCAGGUGCAGAACUUGGUUCUAUGCGCAUGGGCGGGGCAUUGGACCCGAAGACAGGCCUGGUUUUGAAGAAGGCAAGUCUAAAAGGAGCUGAACAAAAGAUACUUGACGCAAUAGAAGAUGCUCGAAAGGGGGUGUUCACGCCGAACAGAGAGAACGAUGAGCUUAUGCGCGCCCUGGGAAAUCCUGAACACCCGGUAAGAACACGAGGCAAGGGCGUUAUUCCCUGGUAUGAGGGCUUUUCGGAACGGAACGACGACUACAGGACCCGUGCAAGAAAGAAGAUGGAGGAGGAAAAGAAGAGGAAGCUGGAGGAGGAGCAGAGGAAGCAGGACGCAGAACGCCUUCAAGGCCUAGAAGCAAGGCACGUAGACUUGGCACUCAAAUUCCAGCAGUAGCAGCAGCAGCAGAGCGACUCACUUAGCUAGGAAAGGGGGUCUCAGCAGCGGCAGUAACAAGCGGGUGAUUGUCCAGCAUUGGGUAGCACCAUCCCAUCCAUGCCGAGAAGCAGCGUUGGUUCCGCCCCGGGCGACACACUGCUGGAUACAUACCCUAUGGAUGACAUCAUAGAGAACACUGAUUGUGAGCUACACUCCAAAAUGAAGAACAUAUCCAUGAAGGUGGCGGACGUCGUUGCUUUUACAAUUACCCCUGAAGCAACCUUCCAUUGCACCCCGAUUCCAGAGGGCUAUGCUCGUGUGUUGGUUGAUGAAGUGGUGGACCCAUAUUCGGGGCUACAGCUUGACAUUCCUCGAGGUGACGACGAGCGCACACUAGGAGAGGCCGUACAUCAUAUCAUCCUAUGGAGAAAGGAUUGCGUCAUCUUUCAAAGUCUACCAACACCGCGUCUGCCGACUCCUCCUCGAAGUCCGCCACCGAGUCAGCAAAGUCUCGCUCCUCCAAGUCCACGAACGUGUGAGCCGACUCCUCCUCGAAGUCCUCCACCUCCUCCAAGUCCACAAAUGCGUGAGCAGACUCCUGCUUCAAGUCCGGCACAGCUUCAGGGCACUCCUUUGGUUUCAAGUCCGACACCGUGUCAUGCCACACCUCCUGCUUCAAGUCCGGCACAGCGUCAGGCCACUCCUCCUGCUCCAACUCAGCCAUGCCAGCCGUCUCCGCCGUCUCAGCAAUUGCAGAAGAGACACGCCGCAGCUAUGGUGUGUAGCGGUACGAGUCGAGGUAGUACAGGAAGUACAGGCGGAGACAAGCGAUAUAAAUAUGGUCCAAGCCUCGCUCCUCUUCCUCAGAGGCCUUACAACAUGACCGAGGAGCAAAACGCAGCCAUGUGCGGGCCCAAGUGGACGCCCAUUUUGGAUCGAAACCGGCACCGCCGCCAAGGGAGAAAGUGCCCGAGGAAAAGAUUGACCACUUCAUUCGUAUGGCUGGACCACCAGCUCCCAAGCCUGUUGACUCAGACUAUGAGCGCCAAAUCAGGAAGGCACAUCGAGCACGACUACAGAAGGAAGCGAGCUCGAGCUUGAGACAACAAGCAGCUAGCAAAAAAUGCGGGAAAACCGUUCCCCAGCUGGGAGAACAGGCGGCGCAAUCGAUCCCCCCGCUUGUUGUGCCAACAACACAUGACAGGAGUACGUGCGCCCAAUAUUAUUGUGGGCAAACCGUUAACGUUCCCCAGCUGGGCGAUGUGGUAAUAACGAAGGAGCAUAUAAUGCAGGCUGAAUUGCUCAAGAUCACUAUUGGACAACUCCUCGAAAUCGAGCCCAUGUCUCCGCUUAGAGAGGAGGAAAUAAAACGGAAAUAUGUCCGGGGCCAACCUUUGGUCGAGCCAGACAAGGUCAAGAACCUCCCAACGAGAAUGUAUGAAUUGCAUCAAUGGUACAUGAACAUUACCAAGAUUUCCAAUCGAGAGUCCUUCAUGGUGAAUGUCAAGGAGGAGCAUUACUUCCAUGAGAAAGCUCUGUCCGUUGAGUAUUCAGAACUAUUUCAGUUAUACAAUCAAGACGCACUCGACAAAUCUAUCGUCAGUUGCUAUUGUCUCUAAGUGAUUUCUUUCUGUAAUUUAAGUCUCAAGCUAGCUGUAGUGAUCAUUUUGAUCAAUCAUUACAUGUAAUUAUCCUCACUAUAUAUUCUUUUCUGUGGUAUUAUAUGCAGGAUGAAGAUGUAUGAAAUGAAAAAAUCUGGAUGCUAUGGCAUUGGGUUCAUUGACCCAAAUACCAUUAAUGAGUACACAUGGAAUCUUCCAACUUCUCGAGUAAGUUUAGAGGAAAGCAUGCUAGAGUUCUUCAAGCGCCUCAAUACCAAUGAAGAUAUACUACUUCCUUACAACUUCCCGUGAGUCACACUGUCUUGUACUACAAAUUCUAUUUUUGCUUACUAGCUAGCUAGAUGUUAAUAAUUAAGUGUAUAGGAUUUAUGGUAGUUGAUUAGUGUUAUGCACAUGCCCGCUUAAUUAAGACAUGCAAACGUGUGCGCAUGCAGUUUCCACUGGAUCUUGUUAGACAUUAAAGUUGACAAAGGAACAGUUGAAGUACUGUACUCACUACUUAAAGAAGAAAGUGACUACACCAUCAUGAAGGGGAUAGUCAACAGGUAAUUUCAAUCAUUAUUAACUAUAUCUCGACCUAUUUAGUUCGUCAUUUCCUGAUAUGAACUAUUUAAUAACCCCUUUAUUAAUUUUCUUUGUUGGCGGACAGGGCUUGGGCAAGGUUCAUCAAGGUGACUCCAGGCAAAUGGGAAAAAAGCUGUUUUGGUAUCGACCAAAGGUAAGUAACUAAGUAGUACUAGCUAGCUAACUAGCUAGCUACCAUCUCUUUAAUUCUUGUUUCAAUGCCAUUAAUUAAUUAUCAUGCUUGAUUAAUCAUUAUCUGAUUCAAUUCCAUUCUCGUAGAGGACCUGAAGCAGGCGCAGGGGAAUGAUCUGUGUGCAUUCUACGUUUGCGAGAAUAUUCGCAUGAUGGUGUCCGAAAGGAGCAGAUCUCAAAUACAAGACUGGGUACGUUUGUCAGAACACUAUUCACACCAUUAUUGAUAUCUAGUCACACAGCUAAUACACAUGCAUUUGAUCUCCUUCUUAACAAUUCAGAGAGGUGUGGGAGCAGCUCCUAUCAGCGGACCGCAUACUAGCACUUCAAGAGGAAAUAGCGGGAUUUUUGCUCGACCAAGUCAUAGAUCCCAAAGGAGAAUANNNNNNNNNNNNNNNNNNNNNNNNNNNNNNNNNNNNNNNNNNNNNNNNNNNNNNNNNNNNNNNNNNNNNNNNNNNNNNNNNNNNNNNNNNNNNNNNNNNNNNNNNNNNNNNNNNNNNNNNNNNNNNNNNNNNNNNNNNNNNNNNNNNNNNNNNNNNNNNNNNNNNNNNNNNNNNNNNNNNNNNNNNNNNNNNNNNNNNNNNNNNNNNNNNNNNNNNNNNNNNNNNNNNNNNNNNNNNNNNNNNNNNNNNNNNNNNNNNNNNNNNNNNNNNNNNNNNNNNNNNNNNNNNNNNNNNNNNNNNNNNNNNNNNNNNNNNNNNNNNNNNNNNNNNNNNNNNNNNNNNNNNNNNNNNNNNNNNNNNNNNNNNNNNNNNNNNNNNCGACGACCUCCGUCGCUGUCCUCCCCCCGACCAGCUCGAUCACCUCUGUCCUGACCUCAAUAACCUCAACCACCGCUCUCUGCCCCACCUCCGUGUCCACUCUUCGCCCCAGCCACCUCCGCCCUCGCCUCCAAUCACCGCCCCGACCACCUCCACCACCGCCCUCUGCACCGACCACCUCCCUUCCACCCGCCCCCAACUUCCCCUCCGGCGGGACCUUCCCCUCACCCCACGGCGACCUUCACUACCCUCCGACGCGUCCUACCUUCUACCAUGUUUCUUGCACCGUGGCGCCGUCCCUACUCGCAGAUCGAGCCAUGAACGUCGAGAUCCAUCAUGGCUCCCUGCAGCGUUCUGUCCUUCCUCGUCCUCGUCACCUGCUGCUGCUCCUGGGUGGUGGUGCAUUCUCCCUGCUUAGCCGUCAUGGCGAGCCUCCUGGAUGGAGCUCGCACACCUCCCCAAUUUCAGCAUCAUUGAUUCUGUACCAUCCUGAUACCUGACCUUCAGGGGGUGCCAGUGGUGGCCUUCAUCGUUGCGCUCCGCUGACGCGAGCUAUGUCCCGACCGGACGACGGGAACAUCACACCCAGCUACCGUCAACGACUAGGGCCGGCGCUAGUGGGGCCUCCACUGCUCCAGGGACAUCUAGGCACAGCCUGACGCAUCACUGCAUGUGAAAAAACAGAGAAAUGGCACUGUCCAAGUUGUGUUCUUUGCCAUUUCUAUACCAAAUCACUUUGGUAUAAACCCAAGUUCAAAUUAAAAACAUAGAGCAGUUUAAAAUUUGUAAAAACACCAUGUGUGUCUCUGAUGACAGCAGAUGGAUAGGAUUGAUGGGCACAGACGACGACCAUCGGUGCACUCGCAGCCGUGUUUGGACUACAGCGACGACUGAAUCAGACCUUCCCCCGGCAUCAGCAAUCUUCCUUCUCUUCAUGUUCAUCAACGCACGCCGCCGUCCACUUGUGACUCUCCACCCGCUAUUGUUAAAGACAAACAGCAUUGUACAUGAGAAGUUUUGUGUAUUAAUGCCCAUGGGAAACUUGCUUAUGAGAAUUGACCCCAAUUCUGAUUGAUUUUGCAGACCUUGGAUUCAAGAGAAAAAUGUGUAUAAAAAGGGGUGAUUUCGAAAGUUCAAGUGUAAUGAACAACGAAGUUCAAACCAAAAAAAUGUAAACAAAAAAAGCAUGGAAUUCAAAGAAUAAAAACUAUGGAGUUUCAUAAAAAAAUAGCAUGGGAAGUUCAUGUUUCAGAAAUUCCAAAGUUCAUGUGUAGUACAUACAGAAGAAAAAUCAUCAAAUGAAAAAAAAGACCGCCGAGGCCAUUUCACUAAAAAGGAAAAAAUGCAUAAAAAUGUCACGACAAAAUUCUAUAAGAAGUUCAAAUUUAAAAACCAAAGCAGGUCGAGUUUUUAAUAUCUAGAAGUCAAAUUUGGAAGGUCGAAAAUUUGAGCAAGAAGUUCAAAUAAAAAGGUACUUCAAAAAUCUUUAUAACGAAUUUUCCUCGUUUAUAAAAAAAUCAGAGAAGUCCAAAUUAAAAAAGACGAGCAUUUCAAAAAUCAAAGAAGUCCAAAUUAAAAAAGAGGAGCAUUUCAAAAAAUUAGAGAAGUCCAAAUUAAACAUAGGAUUUACCUGUUCAAAAAAUAAAAAACACAACAUCAUCUUUUGCACUUUUAUAAACAACUCAUAAACGAAAAAAAUGGUUGCUAGAAGUUCAAGUGCUCGGCGAGGAAAAGUUGAAAAAUUCUUCUGAGAGAGGUUCACCGUGUAUUUAGAUGUCCAAAAUACAUAAAAAAAUAUGUUAUUUUUUGUGUUUUAAAAUAAUUCUCUCAAACCAGAGAGAAGUUCAAAGUGAUAACAACCGUAAGUUCACGUACUACAUGGUGUGUAUUUCAUAUAAGAAAAAAUUCAAAAAAAAGUGAAACAGGGUGAGUUCAAACAGACAUGCCCUAGAAGUUCAAUUACUUCACAUAGUGCAAAAAACACCACAUAAAAUUAGCACGUCAAAAACAAAGUGAAGUUCGAACAGACACAUCCUAGAAGUUCAACUACUUCACGCAGAGCAAAAAACAACACGUUAAAAACAGUGUGAAGUUCGAACAGACAUGCAUGAGAAGUUCAACUACUUCACGCAGUGUAUUUCCAUUCGCGAUGAAGGCAGAAAUCAUGAUCUCGUCAUUUUCUAAUUUACUUCAAAACAGUAGGGAAUCAUUUGUGUAAGUUCAAGUCCUUCGUCGGAGAAAGUUCAAAAAAAUACUGUGAGAGAGAUUUGUACAAAAGGAAUAUCAUUUGUGUGACAUUGACGAAUGUAUGAGAAAAUUACAAAACGAAAAUACGUCACGGAAGUUCAACGUGAAAACAGCUGGAAGUUCAACUACUACCCAGAAUGAAUUUCACAUGAAAAACUUUUAAAACCGUUUCGAGUAUGAAAAAGUAAUCAACACGGGAAAGUUGCGUGUCUAUAGCAGCUUUCCAUCGGUAUAUCACUUGCUCAAUUCCGGUGAGUGUUUCGGUGCGUGGAUGGAGAGCCACGGGCAAAAAAAGCACGUGAGAAACAAAGUGAAGUUCAAGGUUUCAUACCGAGAAGAUCAGGUACUUCACGCGAUGCAUUUUUCACGAAUCUGUUUCGCGAUAAAGGCAAAACGAAUGAUCUCAUCAUUUUCAAAAUUACUUGAAAACGACACGGAAUCACAAAAAACCAUCAACAUGAAAAAGUUUCGCAUUUUCCUUAGCUUUUCAAGGGUAUAUUAUUUGCCCCAUUCCGAUAAAGUUUGUGGAAAAUACAACGAAAAUAUGUUUUUAGCCAUUUUGAAAACUGACAUAAAACAGUAAGGAAUUGGGAGAAAUAAUAUAUACCAAAAAGUUCCGCAUUUCCUCAAGCUUUCCAACGCCAUAUCAUUUGUUGCAUUCGGACAUAGGGUUAAAAAAUAGAUCGCAAAUACGAACUCUGUGAAACUUGUACCGUUUUCUAAAUCACUUUUAAACCGUUCAAAAUUAGAAAAAACUUUCUACAUGAAAAAGUAGUGCAUUUUCAUAAGCUUUCCAACGCCAUAUCAUGUGCCUCAAUUGGUUUAGCCAUUUAGAAAUGACAUCGAAAAUACGAACUCGGCUGUUCGGUUUCUGAAAUUUUACGAUUUUCUAAAUUACUCUUUAACCAUAGGGAAUUAGAAAAAAAAACUUUCGACAUGUGGAAGGAGCGAUUUUGCAGCAGCUUUCCAGAGCCAUAUUAAUUGCCUCAUUCCGAUAAACGGUUUAGAAAUGCGAUCAAAAUUAUGAUUCACGUUUUUUCUGUGAAGAAAAAACGGUUUUCAAAACUGCUCUUAAACCACUUACAUUUUGCGAAAAAUUUAACUUGGUCACGAUACUCGUGUCCAUAGCUUUCCAACAUUAUAUAGCAAGCCCUAUUUGGGCAAUGUUGCGGGAAGUUCAACCUAGUUCACAUGGAAGUUCUGGUCGAACAACUCAGACAGUAAAAUCGCAAAAAACGCGAGUUCUUCAUGACCCGAGUGCAAAAUCUGCCUAUGAGCGAGAUUCCUAUCUAAAACGAGUAUUUAGUUGCUAAAAAUCGUUUGAAGAUUACACUUACAUCACAUGGAACACGACUAACCAGAAAAACUCGCGGUAGAAGGCACGGUUGCGAAGAUAGCUCGAAGGUCGGGUUCGUACAUAGAGAAGUUUAGGCGCGUUACUCAGGCAGUUCAGGUUGUGAUCAUCCCGUGAUCAGAAUAGUGUUCAUGUGUGUGUGUGUAUAUAUGUGUGUGUGUGUGUGUGUAUGUGUGUGUGUGUGUGAAUAAUUAAUGGUGUUGGUUGUGAGACAUUGGAUGAUANNNNNNNNNNNNNNNNNNNNNNNNNNNNNNNNNNNNNNNNNNNNNNNNNNNNNNNNNNNNNNNNNNNNNNNNNNNNNNNNNNNNNNNNNNNNNNNNNNNNNNNNNNNNNNNNNNNNNNNNNNNNNNNNNNNNNNNNNNNNNNNNNNNNNNNNNNNNNNNNNNNNNNNNNNNNNNNNNNNNNNNNNNNNNNNNNNNNNNNNNNNNNNNNNNNNNNNNNNNNNNNNNNNNNNNNNNNNNNNNNNNNNNNNNNNNNNNNNNNNNNNNNNNNNNNNNNNNNNNNNNNNNNNNNNNNNNNNNNNNNNNNNNNNNNNNNNNNNNNNNNNNNNNNNNNNNNNNNNNNNNNNNNNNNNNNNNNNNNNNNNNNNNNNNNNNNNNNNNNNNNNNNNNNNNNNNNNNNNNNNNNNNNNGAACCGGUAGUAAGGGGGGGAGCUUUAGUCUCCACUCUUUAGUGCCGGUUGUAGAACCGGCACUAAAGGCCCUUACGAACCGGCGCUAAAGCCUGAUUCUGCACUAGUGGAGCUAGCCGUGCAGGGCCUCCCGGAAGCUGGACACGCGCCGAGGAGGCCGUUGACGCCGCCACGCUCAACAUGCUCGUGGGGGGCACAACGAGUGGAAAAUUUUGCCCCCUAGGCCAAAAAUUUCGCCGGGAGCCCCCCAAGCGGCGAAAAAAAUGCCUCCUGUGAGGGCAAACGAGUGGAGAUGCUCUUACAAACAGAAAAGGUUGCUAUUAGGUUGAUAGUAAUCAAGUGUCCAACCCACACUAUGUAUUUUCUCCCUGUUUUAACUUCUUUUUCUCCAACCUUUGGUUUUCUUUCACUGGUUUUGUUGGUUUAGCAAAUGAAAUCAUGUCAUCUUUGGUAAAUCAAUAAUUUUGUUUUAUUAAGUGUUGAUUCAUUUGGCAGCUAAAUUCCAUAUUUGUCGUGUAAUCACGGUGAUUGCGUACAAAAUAUUGUGCCAGCAAAUAUAUUGCCUUUGUAGUAGUGCAAAAAAAAAAGUAAGUGCUGAUUCAUUUGGCAUAUUUUUUUUUGCGGGUAAUUCAUUCGGCAGCUAAAGUCCAUAUUUGUCAUGUAAUGACCGUGAUUGCGUACAAAAUAGUGUGCCAGCAAUAUACGUAGUCUUUGUAGUAGUGCAAAAUCCUUGCUCAGUCUUAUUCAAUUAGUACCUCCUAAAGAGUGGUGCUCUAUUUUAGCCACCGGAUCGGCCCGUAUCACUUUACGAGCUGCUACCUUAAUUAACAUGGUAACUCCAUUGGUUUCCCAAAAGGAAAACAUGGUAACUCCAUUGGCUGUUUCCUAAAAUAACGCAUGGUAACUCCAUAUUAGCAGGGCAGCGUCUACUACAGUACUAUAAUUAGCCCUCGGGCGCCUCUGAUUUUCUUCAGCAAUCCACGUUUUUGCAGCCAUGGAGCUUACCCUCGUAUUCUCCCUUCUCGCCCUCUUCUGUCUCCACGGCGUGAGCGCCGACAGGGUUAACUUCACCUCCUUGUUUGCCCUCGGCGACUCCAACAUCGACACCGGCAACCUGGUGCUCUUGGCUACUCCGGAUGUGCCUGUGUUCAAUAACAAGCCUCCUUACGGCAAGACCUUCUUUGGCCACCCCAAUGGCCGGUUCAGCGACGGGAGAGUCACCAUCGAUUUCAUCGGUAAGUUGAAUCAUCUGAUAAUUCGUGGAGUCAAGUGAGCACUUUGCUCAAAAUUUGAUUAGAUGGAAUUUGAAUACCUGAUCAUGUACCUUGUUCUUUUGGUUUGGUACUAGCCGAGGAGUUUGGUCUCCCUCUUCUUCGACCCUCCCUGCAGAAUAACCCAGACAUCUCCAAGGGGGUCAAUUUCGCUGUCGGCGGCGCGACGUCUCUCAACGCCGACUUCUUCGAGAGGAACAAAUAUGUUAAUUUCAAGCUUCUAAACAGUUCUCUGAACGUGCAGCUGGACUGGUUCGAGAAACUCAAGCCAUCGUUUUGCAAGACGGCAGGUCUGCGGCACGCUCCCUUGUCUAGCCGUUACAGUGCUUAAUUCUUGGCUGUUGCAUACAUACUGAGAAACUGCUUGAUACGUACAGGACCAAGUGAAUGCUUCAAGAAAACCCUCUUCGUCGUCGGGGAGUUUGGAGUGAACGACUACAACCUGGCAUGGGGUGCGGGGAAGUCUGAAGCCGAAGUGAGGUCUUAUGUACCUCAAGUUGUGCAAAAUAUUGCCAAUGCCGCUGAUGUAUGUAUACAUUGUGCAAUUUCUUUAGUUCUGCUUCAGCUUUUUUGUACACAACACACCAUUUUUGCACUGUAAUAAUAUUAUAGGACGCGACACGGCACUAAACUGGUCAGCUUAAUUACCUUGGUACAACAGGUGCUCAUCAAAGGAGGUGCAACUUACGUGGUCCUGCCGGGGAUCCCGCCGAUCGGGUGCUCGCCGUCCCUGCUGGCGACCCGCGUGAGCCUCAACAAGGCGAAGGAGUUCGACCAGCUCGGCUGCCUAAGCGACGCCAACCGCGUGGCCAAGUACCACAACACCGAGCUCCGUAAUGCGAUCGACGGUCUGAGGGGCAAGUACGCGCAUGCCAAGGUCAUCAAGGCUGACUUCUACAGCCCGAUCAUCAAUAUCCUCCAAAACCCCGGCCGGUUCGGUACGUAAGAAAAAGAAGUUCUGCGUGCAUGGGUUGCAUGUGCGUGUGCAUGAGUUUUCUGAAAUUUUGCGACCAAUCUGCAUGCAUGCAGGAGUGGCCGGCGGCGACGUUCUACGGGCUUGCUGCGGAGGCGGCGGGAAGUACAACUGGAACAUCAGCGCCGUGUGUAGCCAACCGGGGGUGGCCGCCUGCAAGGAUCCCUCGGCGUUCGUGAGCUGGGACGGGACUCACUUCACGGAGGCCACGUACCGCUACGUCGCCAAAGGGUGGCUCUCCGGUCCUUACUCCGAUCCGCCCAUACUGAAUGCUCAUAACUAGGAGUAUUAGAGAGGAGCACGGAAUAAAGAGGUGUCGUAAAAAGUUCCACGAUUCACGAAUAUGUUCAUAUCAUGUUUUAGAUGGAAUCAAUAAAAGAUUAGCAUUAGACAAUUGGUUUGAGAGACUUUUCUUUUAUGGAGAGAGAACUGAAACGACCCGAGGAAAGUUGACAAUAAAAGAUUAGCAUUAGACAAUUGGUUUGAGAGACUUUUCUUUUAUGGGGAGAGAACUGAAACGACCCGAGGAAAGUUGAGAGUAAUCUUCAGCAGCGACUAGCUAUUGUUGCAUGCUGUACUUCUGAUCUGAAACUCAUCGUGAAACUCAAGAAUUUUUGUCAAAAAAGACCACCUAUCCAACGUAAUUAGCAAAAAAGAUCACCUUUAAAUGAAAUUGUCAGAAGAGACCACCCGAGUCGUGGCGACAGGCGCGCCAGCCGAAGUGUGGCCCUGCGGCAGCAGGUGCAUACCAACCAGGCCGCGCCCAAAACGGAACUGGGAGUGCAUGUGGUCUCUGCAGCCUAGAGGCAGGACUGUUUGCCUGCUACUACAUUUCAUUUCGUCUGCGUUUCGUUUCGUCCGACGAAUAUUAUUCGUAUGCCCUUGCUGUUGAUUCCUAGACGUUUCAUCUGUGUAUUAUUUCGUCUGACGAAUAAUGCCACAAAUUUGUAUGGCCUUGCUGUUUAUUCCUAGGUGUUUCAUCUGUGUAUUGUUUCUUCUGCGUUUUGUUUCGUCUGAUGAAUAAUGCCACAAAUUUGUAUGGCCUUGUUGUUGAUUCCUAAGCAUGCAGUGCACUGUUUUUGCAAAUAAUAAUCGCCGCCGUAGGCCUUGUCGUCGGCCUCCUCGCGUCGGCUGAUUCACCCGGCGAACCUUCACCGCCGCGGGUCUCAUCGUCGGCCUCCUCGCGUCAGGCGAGUCACCCGACGGAUCUGCUACGCCACGAGCCUCAUCGUCGGCCUCUUCGCACCGGCCUCAUCGCCUGGCGAACCUUCACCGCCGCAGGCCUCAUCGUCCGGUGGGUCUUCGCCGCCGCAGGUCUCAUCGUCGGCCUUCUUGCACCGACAUCAUCGCCGGGCAGACCUGCUUUGUGGCGGGCCUCAUCGUCGUCCUCCUCGCGCCGGCCUCAGCGCCUGCCUGCCUCCUCGCGUACCUUCGCCGCCGCAUGCCUCAUCGUUGGCCUCCUCGCGCCGCAUCAUCGCCCUGGCGUUGAGGCCAGCGCGAGGAAGCCAACGAUGAGGCCGGCGACGGAGCAGGUCUGCCUGGCGAUGAUGUCAGCACGAGGAGGCCGAUGAUGAGGUCUGCGGUGGAGCAGGUCCGCCGGGCGAUGAGGCCGAUGAUGAGGCUCGUGACAGAGGCUCGAAUUAUUAUUUGUAAAUAAACAAUUAUUAUUUACAAAAAUAAUGUACUGCUUGUCUAGGAAUCAACAACAGAGGUAUACGAAUAUGUGACAUUUAUUUGUCACACGAAACGAAAUGCAGAUGAAACAAAACACAAACGAAACGAAGGUAGCAUCAUGCAAACAGUGCUAUCGCCACGCCGCUAGGUGGUAGGGACCACAUGCAGCCCCCGUUCCGUCUUUGGGCGCUGGCUUGCUGUUACGCGCUGCCGCCGCCUGGGCAUCUGGCGGCAGGUGCUGCCGGCAGGCGGCAUGGCGGCAGAUGUCACGCUUCGGCUGGCGCGCCUGACGUCACGGUUGGACAGUCUUUUUUGUCAGUUUCAUUUGAAGGUGAUCUUUUUUGCCAAUUCUAUUAGAUAGGUGGUCCUUGACAAAAAAGUCAAAACUCAAUGGUUCGAGCAACAAAGUGAGUCGAACGGAAAUUAUACUAGACGGUCUAGCGUCCAGUUAUAAACAAAUCCAAGAAAGUCCAAACUUUUAUUAUCCACUAGUAAGCUUGCACGUGCGUUGCACGCCAACACUGACACACAUUAUAUUAUUAAACAUCUAUAGUUCUAAAAUAAUGGAUAUGUGCUAUUUGUGCAAAUGAAUGAAUGAAAAGGUGAUCUAUAUAAUGUGCAAGGAUUGCAUCUAAAAUGGUAAGUACAAUAUUUUGCAAAAUAUUCCUGGAAUAAAAAGUUAAUUAUUUCAAGUGCAUGAUUUCACCAUUUACACAAAACGAAGUGAUGAUUUGGAUAGUUUACACAAAAUGUACCAAGAAACAUUCCCACAACAUGUGGGGAUUCAUUUAGUUUAACUAAAAUCAACAACCAUUUCUUUAUAUUCGAAAGGUGCUUCGUCUCUGCACUUGAAAACCUUCAUAGCAUAUGAGAUUUAGAUAGAUACACAAAAUGUGUGUGCUCAUGUCCUUGCAUGUUGGAAACAAGCAUCAACAACAUUUACACUCUUGUAGAGGAAAUAGUGUUUGGGCAAUCAACAACCAGUCACAUGGUCUCUUCUACAUUGGAUCCAAAAAGAAAAGGAAGAUUGAAUGGAACUGAAACUCACAAAUAGGUAGACAUGCUUUCAAUUUGUUGGCUAGAAUUUGACAAAUGCACUUGUCAGGAGACAGGCGUACUCUAUCAAUUAUCUUUCAUCUUCUCAAGAUUAAGCACUUUAGCUGAGGCGAAGAAACGAAGCAAGACGAUGCCAUUUUUGAGCAUGCUCUUGGUUGUCACCAAUGAACCUACAACAUCCAUCACACGCAUUAUAAAGACGAUGACACACAAACACAUGCACACGUAUUAUUGUGAAACCUGACCAACUUUGAAAGCAUGAUACUCUGUCCCCACUUUAUACUGAUUCUCAUCUUUUAACCAUUCUUUACACAGUGAGACAGAACUUACAUGUGUCUGAGAAAGAAAAAACACUUUGAAAUGUGACCAUCCACAUUGUCAUCUUUGGUUAGAACUUAAGGUCCUUUGAGUAUCACGUCCAGCUUGCCUACAGAAAAAGCUAUCUUAAAAUCUCCAAAAGCUGUCCAAAAGAAAAAGGAACAAUCUCAUAAAACAAGUGAAACAUUGGUGUUAAUUUUUUAGAAGGAUACAUGCAUCUAUAUGCAUCUUAUCGAUGCCAAUUUGAAAAACUGAUUUACAGAAGUACCUUUCAUGUGUACAAAACGCUGAAGAAUUUGAACAUGAACAGCCUGAUACAGUACAGUAAGGACAGCGAGCACUAACAAUUCACAAAAGUAUAUUUUCCUAUACACACUCUGUUGCGGGUUAAUAAAAAACGGAAUAUACUCAGCUGUGGGAUCGAUCUUCAAAUUACCUUCAAUUGGUUACAACCUAAAGAAGCUAGAACAACUAAUCUAGUACUGCUAUUUCAUAAAAAAUUUAACCAUCACAAGCUAGAACAACCGAUCUAGCUUAAGAAACCUACACAACUCAUAAUUUCAUACGCUCAUAGUAAUCAUCCAUAGCCAGUAAUUCUUCCUUUGCGUACAUGCAUUACCACUGAAGUAAACUGUAGCUAAUAAUUAGAAAGUUAGACCAAAUUACGAAUCACCAUUACAAAGUAUAACCGAUUUUUGGCACUGGAACAUUUUUCAGGCGGAACCUAAAGAAGCACCACCAUAGAAAUUUCUAAUAGCAAGGAAUUUUUCCAUUCUUGAUCGGUGAAUCACAUACGGAUUGCAUCAAACCAAUUGAAAAGGGUAAAUAGAUAUACCUAAAGCAUUCUUUUAUUUGCCAACACCAGUGCUUCCUCAAAGCGCCUGCUGACUGCUGUCCCUUAAAUAUCAAAUGAUUGGUUUGCUGCCUGUUGGAGCAGCAAUUUCUGCAAAAUCAACAGCACCAGAUGCAAACACUCCAUUAGCCUUUAAAUCCAAAUUGAAAAAAAUAGUGAAUCAAUCCAGCCAAGCAAGGUAGGACAAGCCAAGAUGUACAAGGUUCACGGCAAGCUGUGUGCCCGGAAUCCAUCCAGCUGCCUGAGUGCUUGCUUAUGUAGCCGGCCAGAAGGUUCAGACCAACGUCUACGCGUAAAAUCAAUUAGCAGCUUGCUUAGCUUGCAGCUGUACGUACGUGUUCUGCUCUCGGGAAGAUCCAAUCCAAGUGCCUCAAAUCCAACAUACCCAGGCAUAUGGAGGGCGCUAACUGGCGGGAUGCAGACAUCAUGGUCGCCCACGUGAUGCCGUCGUUGAAGGGAAUUUUCAGUCGAACACCUCACGUAGGCGAGCAACGGCGGAGGGAGACCAGGCGCAACACCUGUGGCGACGAUGUGGGUGUGCACGGCGGCGACCUCGACAGUGUCGGCGGAGUCCAUGAGAAGGGAGAUGUAGACUAUUGUUGCCGCCCUAGACUAGCUCUCUCUCACGCCGGACUGAAGGUAGACGAAGCACUUUUUCCGGCGACCAACGCCCCGGCGCUUCAACGCCCCGGCGCUAAAACGCCCUUUUUCCUUUUCAGCUCGCCCCAGUUACAUCAGGGCAUGUACAAUGGUUCUAUCUUAGCAAUGCCACGUAGGAUAAAUGAUGAGGUGGAUGAGAGAGAAAUCAUAAGAGAAGGCUUGUCUUCUCUUAAUUAAGAGAAGGCAAGAGAUGAUCUCUUAGCACAAUAUGUCUCACCACAUUUUUAGGAAUAACUAAUUAUUGAUGAUAAGGCUAAGAAAUGACCCAUUGUAGACAUGUGUUUUUGCCAUCUCUAAAUUACAUACAAGAUUUAAGAUAAAACUAUCUUAUCGACCAUUGUACAUGCCCUCAGCGAUUACAAGGCCUUUUGUAGCCAUACAGCGACGCAGCGCCCACGCAACUCCUUCGGCCGAUACGCGCACGCACACAACAAACUCCACAUGCAGCUUGAUCCGUACGUUCCGGCCGCGCGGACGACGCACUCCUAUAUGCACGACGCGGCUGCCUCCAACGGCCCCUGCUGCAUGCACUAACAAAGUGUAGACUAACUCAAACUUGCCUAGCCUGCUGCAUGCACGCACACCGCACCGGCCACUAAGCCAACUAACUACCUGUCAAGAUUAGUACUAACAUAGACGUCCUCGUCGGCCGUGACGCCGAGCAAGUCCAGUAGGUAGGAGCUCUAGAUCAAAAGUAGAAUUUAGGAUUUGUAAUGGAGGCGCAAUGCAUCGGGUCUGCGACAACAUACCAAAUUUUCCUCUCCUCUAAUCCGGCGACUUGUGAGGUCUCGUUCUGGGUAGGGAUAGGGAAGAUGAUAAGAGGGGAGAUGAUACGAGGGGAUGGGAGGUGCUGCCGGCGCACUCGUCGGUUCUGCGGAGGAGGAUCAGGCGGUGGCGUGGGUCGCGGCCUUGCAAUUAGCGAGCGAGGGGAUCCGCUUGCGAUCACUUUCCUUUUUUUUUUUCACCCUCUGCGUGAUUGUAGGGAUUGCAUAGGUGCGGGGCGGAGAUUCCUAUUCCUCUGCGGUGAAGCAUGUUCAGCCAACGUAAAAUACUAAAUGCACACCAGAGAAUAGAUUAGAUUAAGGUUAGCUGUUAGAUUAAGGUUAGCGGGUCUAAUCGUACGAUGACAAUUAAGCUGUGUACAUCUGUUGUGUGGCUUUAAGAAAGAAUUAGUUUGAUUGUUUAUUAGUAGUAGAGAUUAGCAAUGCAUACAUAGUCUAAGUCCAUUUGGAGACAUAACAUAAGCAGAAGUUUUUUUUUUGGACUCCGACCACUGUUACUCACCCUCAGCACGAACGUCCACGUCACGUCCUCCCCUAGUAGGCCAAAAACGAAGCCAACAGAAAAAAAUGUCCCCAAAAUUGAUGGGACAUGGGUAAAAAAACAUUUGCGACAUUCAACAAGAACUGAAAAACACGGAAGAAAAUUUUAUGUGUAGCUUUUUUUGCGAGGGUAAAAGAGUUUUAUUUCAUAUUCAUAGGGUUACAAUCAAACGGCAAAAGCUCCUCAAUACAAGGAGGGCCCUGCCCAAGCCAUACAGCAGUAGUGCUCUCUGUACGACUAUACAUAGCCAAAUGAUCUACUAUCCUAUUCUGCUCUCGCUUAAUUUUCAAAGGAAAAAACUCUCUUUCACCUAUAAGAAGACGAAUCUCAGCAACUAAAUGACCAUAAGCCGACCGGGAAAGACUUUCGCUGGUCAGAGACAAAAGAGCUUGGACAGAAUCAGAUUGAACAAUGAUCGACAAGUUGCAAUGUUGGAUUGCUAGUGCCAUCCCUUGCAUUAUUGCAUGUAGUUCCGCCUCCAAAGCAUCAUUGCAGUUGAAGAUACACCGGUAAGCUGCAAAUAUGACAGACCCAUCAGCUCUUCUAAGUAUCAUACCUGCAGCUGCUGAUCCAUCCAAUGGUGAGAACAACCCAUCGAUCGAUAAGGCCGCAUGGCCUUCCGCAGGACGAGGCCAUGGUAACUGCAUUGCCGUACCGAGCGGCUUGGCCGGCUCAUCACCAAGCAUUGGCAUCUUCCCCUUUAUGAUAUCCUCUAUAGAGUAUCUCCUGGCCAAAUGUAACGAUUGCAUAUAACUUUGCAGAUAAUCUGCCGUAGCAGUCGGACUUGGUACAUCUUUACCAUGCGCCAUAUCAGACCUCAAUGUCCAUAUCCUCCAUAUUAACAUUAUAGUGCAGUCCUGCAUAUCAUCAUUGCAGUUCAUCAGAAUAUUCAGAAGCCACUCCCUUCUUGUAUCUCGAAGCAGUUGAUGAUCAGGGAGAUUCCAAACUGAACGCAAUUGCGUCCAUACUUCCCGAGCAUACUCACAAGUAACCAACGCAUGGAAGCUGGUCUCCUUUUAUGAACCACAGAGAGGGCAUGUAUCACGCGUGGAUAUGUGUCUAUAUUUCUUGCAAGAAUUUGUUGCGAGUGCUCCUGACACCACUUUCCACGCCAUGAUUCUCAUCUUGAGUGGUACCCGCGCAUCCCACACCCGUCUCUAGAUCGACUUGUGUCCGCUUGGGUUAGAGCUAGACGCGCUCAUCGAAUUUGACAAUUGGUAUUCUCUUGUGAGGUGAUAAGCGCUCUUAACAGUGAACAAACAACUCUUUUCUGGAAACCAAGCCAAAAAAUCCUGCCCCCGCCUCGGUGACGUCCGGAUCUUCACAAUUUCGCGAACGUCCAUAUCCCAGAAAUAUUGUCUCAACAUUUGCAUAUUCCAUGCACCAGAUUCAUCCAAGAAAUCCGCAACCCAGUUGUGUCUACAAUUUCUUUUUGGGGUGAUUGGUUUGAAGUCAUGCUUCCUUGGAAUCCAGGGAUCCUGCCAAGUCUUAAUUAACGAACCAUCACCCACACGCCAUAUAAGCCCCUUUUUCAACAGAUCAAGCCCAUGCAUGAUGCCCUUCCACACAGCCGACGAACUAGAAGGAAAGACUGUAUCAAGCAAGUUACCAUUGGGGUAAUAUUUGGCCCGGAGUAACCGGGCGCAUAAACUAUCCGGACUAUCAAGCAAUCUCCAGGCUUGCUUCGCGAGUAGUGCCUGAUUGAAGGAUCUCAUAUCUCUAAAACCCAUUCCUCCCAUAUCCUUGGGCAAGAUCAUUUUCUCCCAACUGAGCCACGCCAUUUUCCUUUUACCAUUCUCCACUCCCCACCAGUAUUGCCUCAUCAUACGCGUUAAAUCAUCGCAAACAGAGGCCGGUAGCCGAAACACACUCAUGACAUAUGUAGGUAUAGCUUGCGCCACCGCCUUGAUCAAAAUUUCUUUGUUCCCCGACGAGACAAACUGUUCACUCCAAUCAAUUAAUCUCUUUCUCAACCUCUCCUGAAGAGAUUCAAAUUGUCCCUUAUGCACUCUUCCCUCUGGCACCGGAAGGCCGAGGUACUUUGGCUCGAACACCUGCUGCGUAACCUCGAGGGUACUUUCGACUUCAUCCGCCACCGCAUCAGAGCAAUUGUCAGAAAAAAGGAUGGAACACUUCUCUGGGUUAAUAAGUUGACCCGUCGCAGAACUAUAAGUGUUCAACAGCCCCUUAACAAUGCUCGCUUGCUCGCCAGACGCCUCAAAAAGCAACAUAGUAUCAUCUGCAAAUAACAGGUGGGAGAUAACCGGUGCACCACGACAUAUAGUCACCCCCUUUAGCGAGCCUUCCUCAACUGAUUUAGAGAACAGAGCAGAAAGGGCAUCAGCAACAAAAAGAAAUAAGAACGGCGAUAAAGGAUCACCUUGCCUUAAUCCUCUAGAGGGAAUGAAACUCUCAAGCAAUUGUCCAUUGAAUUUGACCGAAUAUUUCACUGAUUUCACACACACCAUAAUCCAUGCAAUCCACUGUUGGGCGAAGCCCCAUCUACCAAAUGCCUUCUCCAAAAAGUCCCAGUCGACACGGUCAUAUGCCUUCGACAAGUCCAGCUUGUAAGCACAUGCCGCCGGUCUGUUUUGUUUCAGCGACUGUAUGUGGUGAAGGCACUCAAAAGCAAUAAUCGAAUUGUCAGUGAUAAGCCUCCCUGGAACGAAGGCACUCUGAUUCUCUGAAAUGAGCUCCGGGAGCAACGGCCUUAGUCUGUUCAUGAGGCAUUUUGAGACAAUCUUGUAGAUGACGUUACACAAGCUUAUCGGUCUAAAAUCCUUGAGUUCCUUUGGGAAAGGAAUUUUCGGGAUAAGAACGAUAGCUGUGUCGUUCACCCUGUCCGGCAUAUCUCCUGACUUAAAGAACUCCAGCACAGCAGCUAUGAUUUCAGAUUUCAGCACGACCCAAUUUCGUUGAAAGAACCUCGCCGGGAGGCCGUCCGUCCUUGGUGCUUUAAGCGGACCGAUUUGAAAGAGGGCAUUUGAUACCUCCUCCUCCAAGAAGGGACCACAUAGGGUAUCGUUCAUACCCUGAGUUACCUUAGAUGCGAUACCCUCCAAGACACUCUCCGGAGUGAGAGUUGGAUCUUUCGUAUAAACCUCCUUGAAGUAUGAUGUGGCCAUGCGUUGCAUAUCUGUCGGGGAUGAGCACCACGUACCAUCCUCUCGCUUCAAGCGCUGUAUAUAGUUCCUCCGAGCACGCCACACCGCACGGCGAUGAAGAUAUGUUGUAUUUUGCUCUCCUUCUUUCAACCAUGUGAUCCGAGAUCUCUAAAGCCAAAGCAUCUCCUCCCUAUAGAGGAGUUCAUCAAGUUGGUGCAUUUUUUGUUUUAUUAAAUUUCUGUCCGCAUCAUGAAGUUGUAAGUCUGCUAAUUCUGCUCGUAACUUUUCCAAAUCUGAUAUGACAUGGCCAAAGUUCUCUAUACUCCAUGAUCACAGCUUGAUCAUCAUCUCUUUAAGAGCAUCACCAACCGUGCCCAAGUUCCCAGCUGGGUAGCUUCGGCCCCAACGUUCUGCCACCACCGCCGUCAAGCUGGGAUGUCGCUCCCACAUAAUCUCGUAUCAUGAUGCAGAUCUAGUUCUCGGUGGUGCUGCAGAUAACCGAACGAGGACCGGGCAGUGGUCCGAGCAGGAGGUCGCCAGGUGAGUCACCUGCGUGAGUGGAAACAGAUCCCUCCAUGCAUCGUCCGCGCAGGCCCUAUCCAACCGGACCCGUACGUUCCUCCCUCCUUGUUGGCCAUUAUCGUAUGUAAACAGAACGCCACUAAAUCCAAGAUCCAAGAGUUCACAUGCUAGCAGGUAAUCACGGAACACUUGCAUUUGACUUUCAGAUCGUUGUGACUGAGAAAACUACUCAUGUUGCCACAUAGCUUCAUUGAAAUCGCCGCAUACUAACCAAGGCUCGGCAGAAAACGCCCUUAGGUUAGAUAGCAAGCUCCACAUCCGAUGUCGAUUCUCCACUCUCGGCUCCCCGUACACAAAGGUUGACCUCCAUGACUUUUCAUUCGCUGCAUCCACUAUCCGCACGUCUAUAUACCGUGCACAAGCAUCUAGAAUUGUGACUUGCAAACUUUCGUCCCAGAAAAGGGCAAGCCCUCCACUUAGACCCUGGCUCGACACCCCCACUAAACCCUUCUUCUGUAAUCUCCACUUGAGUCGCUACAUUUUAUUUGAGGCUUGUCUGGUUUCAGAUAAGAAUAUGAGCCCCGGGGAAUUGGCUUUUGAGAGGGCCAAAACCUCACGAACUNNNNNNNNNNNNNNNNNNNNNNNNNNNNNNNNNNNNNNNNNNNNNNNNNNNNNNNNNNNNNNNNNNNNNNNNNNNNNNNNNNNNNNNNNNNNNNNNNNNNNNNNNNNNNNNNNNNNNNNNNNNNNNNNNNNNNNNNNNNNNNNNNNNNNNNNNNNNNNNNNNNNNNNNNNNNNNNNNNNNNNNNNNNNNNNNNNNNNNNNNNNNNNNNNNNNNNNNNNNNNNNNNNNNNNNNNNNNNNNNNNNNNNNNNNNNNNNNNNNNNACAUAACAGACUCAUUGUGCCCGGCGGUCCUUCUCUAGGGAGGCCGCCGAUUUAUCGCAUGAUACAUACUCUGAGCUAGUUUUUGCACCCUUACUUCCAUUGCUGCUGCUAGGUGAAUUGGUCCCUUUAUCCUCCCCCUUCCCAAGGGUCAAAGCUAGAGUGUUUCCCUUUGGAUUCUGGGUACCCUUCACCUCUUCUGAGCCCACACCGCCCAUUGCCAAUCUCUUCCUGACAACCGGAUCAACCUGCAUGUGGGUAUGGCCCUUCUUUGGGGGGCUGGUGGCUGUAUCCAACAUGUCAGGAUCCACCACCUUCUUCCCACCCACCUCACGUUGCGGUGUAGUCUCAUAUUGCCUUGCACCACCUCGCAUGUGUUGUUCCUCCUGACGUGGUUUGUUUGGACCAUCAGCAUAUAACCACGCCCCAUACUUCUUAUCCUUCUCUUCAUGAAUACCACUACCACAUUCUUUAUACUCAUGACCAAUUAAGCCACAGACACUGCAAAAGCGGGCCAGUUUCUCAUAAUGAACCAAGAACACCUGCCUCUCAUGGCCCCGGAAAAUACUAACAAAUUUUGUAAGAGGCUUGCUAACAUCAUGACGGAUCCUCACUCUAACAUAGUCUCCUCUCGUAUUCCCAUUAAGUCUCAUCUCCAAGAUCUCACCGGAGUUCCUGAGCAGAUAUUACACAAUCUUCUGCUUGCAGAACCCCUCGGGAAGUUUAUGGAUUUGUAACCAAAUUGGCAUAAACACCAUUGGUACCUCCUCAGCUUUCGUAAAACCAUCAUAUGGGCACAUCAACACAAGCAUAUUCCUGAACAACCACGAUCCUUGAUCCAGCAUGCGCUCCCAAUCUCCAAGGCAAGAAGCUUGUACCAUGAACAGAUUCUGUCCCACCGGUCGAAACCUAACCGGCUCGGCUGUGUGUUCCACGCCGCACGCAUCUCCCUGUAGAAAGCAGUUUGGCUAAAGGAUUUGUCCGUAUGAACCCUAGCUAGGGCAAACCAUCUAACGCUUUCGUUGAUCUCAGGAUCGUCUGCGUCGAUAACCAAGUCAUCGAAUUCCUCUUCGUCCAAGUUCAGUUGUUCCAGAAAUUCAUCAAGAUCUGACUUCAUUGCGGCGCCACUCCCGCCGCUCGUUCCUGACUGGGCGUCCACCGCCAUCGCUAUCGCGAUCUGCAUCGAAAGAAAGAACGACCCACCCCUACGCAAGGGAGAGGUAAUGAUGGACGGACUCGCUGGCGAUUGAUUGCCAGGGAGGAGUAGUUUGUAUUGGAGAGGGACUCACCGGCGAUCCGAUCGCCAGGAGGAGGAAAACCCUAGCCGCAGUGUAGGGGAAAAAACUAUCCUCUAAUGACUAGUGGAACAUUACGUUAGGAAUGCGUGUAUAAAUUUUAUGUGUAGCUACAUCCAGGAAAAGAAGUGCACAACUCCUGGACAUGAUGCUUUAGACCAAAUCAUGGCAAACAUGUGUAAACAUGGCGUUAAAUUGACAUGACAAACAAAAAUCAAGUUGCUAUGGCAACAAAAGUUUUUAGUUUUUGAUGAUAAUGAUGCAAAAUUGAAAAUAAAAUAAAAUUGGCAACGAUCGAAAAAAAAUAAAAGUUGCCUUGCCAUUGCAAAAAUUGCAAAAAACAAAAAAUUCCCCAGUUAGUAAAAACCAUGCUCUAUAUUUUCGCUAACAUAAUCACACAUUAAAUAUUGCCACGAUAAAAAUAUGUUAAAAUUGCCAUGUGAGUAAAAAAUUACUAAAAUUUAGAUAAUAUAAUUUGCCAUGACUCUUAAUAAAAUAAAUUGCCAUGCUCCAUGUUCUCUUUGUCAUAUAACAUAAAAAAGCACAUAUAGAAAAUUGCCUAUGGUGGAACAUAAUAAAAAUUGUCAUGCCAUUAAAAACAAAAUUACCAUGAUGUAGAUAAUAUAAAAUUCCAUGCUAUUUAAAAAUAAAAUUGCACACAAUAUAGUUAAUAAACUUGCUAUGAUCUCAAAAGGGAAUAAAAUCUGGUUUUCGAUGAAAAUGAUGAAAAAUUGGAAAUUUAUAAAAUAAAAUAUUGUCAUGGUCGAUAAAAUAAAAUUUGCCGUGCUACAAAAGAAAUUGUUGUGCUCUUAAUAACAGAACGUCCAUCCUCUAUUUUUCUGUUGUCAUAACAUAACAAUCACACAAACAAAUUUUCGUGAUUGAAAAUAAAUAAAAUGGCAUGCCCUUAAAAAUAAAUUUACCAUGAUCUAUAUUUUAUUUAUCAUAACAUAAAAAUCGUGCAUACAAACUUGCCACGGUCGAACUAAUAAAAUUGUCAUGCAAUUAAAAAAAUUGCCAUGAUCUAGAUAAUAAAAUUUGUCAUGCUUUUAAAAACUAAAAAAAUGUGAUGGUAAGUUUGGUAAUUUUGCCAUGGCAUGCAUGUUCAAUAAAAUUGCCACGGAAUGUGCCCAUGAAAAAAAAAUGUCAUAAUUUAUGUAGAUUUGCCGUGAUGCUCUAUAUGAACAUGUCCAUAUAUGAUAAGGUGCCAUGAUACAUUAUAUUAUUUGUUUCAAGAAUUGCCAUGAUUUAGAAAUCAAAAAAUGUUUAAAAGAAUUGCCCAUGAGACAUAUACUUUUGUUUCAAGAAUUGCCAUGAUUUUGAAAACAUCAUUCAUAGGAUUGUCGUGUGACCAUUACAAAUCCUCCCUACAACUUGCCAUGUGUUGGGAAACAUAAAGUUCUGAAUCCUCGUGUGACCGCUACAAAAAAAAUCAAACUUGCCAUGUGAUAGAGAAAACAAAUUUGUUCAUGAAUGCCAUUGAUCACUAGAUAAACACACUAGACGAAUUUCCAUGUGUUAAAUAACAUUAUGGAAGAAGAAAAUAGUGGAAAAAAUGCCAUAACAACCAAAUUAGUAUUCUAAUUUGGAAUGGUGACGAUCUUUAAAUGGCAUUGACAAAUAUUACAAAAAAGCAUGGCAGUUUUCAAAAAGGAGAGCAUGUUGUUUCUGUCUAAAGAUUUGUUAUGGUCUAAAUAAGAAAAUGUCAUGGUCUAAAAUAAGAAAAAAUCCAUCGUUUAAAGAACAAAAUGCCAUCCUCUGAAUAAUAAAAAUGCCAUGCUACCUACACUAAAGCUACCAUGGUGUAAUUAAUAAAAUUUCCAUUGUUUAAAUAAUAAAAAUGUCAUAGUCUAAACAAAGAAAAAUGUCAAAGCCAUGCAAUGAGUUUGCCAAGGUCAAUACAAUAAAUUUGCUAUGAGAAAAAUUAUUGAAAUGCGGUAUGAAACUUAAGGUGACCAUGUUAGAAACAUGAGAAAGUUUGCCAUGGCUAGUUCGUACCUAAAAAGCAAAGUAAAGUUGCCAUGUAAUUGAACAUAGAACGAAUACAAAUUAAGAUGCCUUGACAAAAACAUCUCUAGAAAGUUUGUCGCGACAUGACUUAUAAAUGUAUUAGAAAACUUAAGGUGGCUUGGCAAAAAGGAUCUUCGAUUUGUGGUACCUAUUUAGAUGUAGAACAACUACUUCCCAUGGAUGCUAAUAGAACAUAACAUCCCAAGUGUUCAUAAAAACUGCAAUCAUGCGUACACGACAUGUGCCAUUAUACUCUCAAAAUACAUGUCAUGGCAAUUGUCUGUAAACAUUGCCACAACAGUUGUUUGAAAAAAAUGCCAUGCAUGAGAAACUAAGUUUUGCCAUAACUUAAGACAUCAAAAAUGAGCUAUAUUGUAUGAACCUAAGUUGCCAUCAACAAAACCCCAGAUUUGCCAAGCACGACAAACAAUUUUUGCCAACACUUUCACCCAAAAAAAGAGUAGCCAUGAAGUUUGUCGAUUCAUGAAGUUUGUAAUCAUGGAAAUUUUAGACAACUAAAAAUCCUACAUCAUUGUACGAUUCUUGCCAAGUUUUUGAAGAACAUGGCAAGUUUACAGAAACAUAUGUAUUAGGCCUUUAUUAUUUUAAAAUUUUUUUGCCAUCGGCCUAUAAUUUUACUAAAAUUGCCAUGGGCCCCUGUUCAAUCAAAGUCUCAACUACAAAAAAAAUAAGCUGGCCAGUUUUCAGUGGGUCACUAAUAAACAUGUCAUCGUUGACCCCAAGACAUUGACCGACCAAAAACUCAUCUUUGAUGAUACAAAUUGGUCGCACAAUGAUGUUCGGUUCUGUAGUAGUGUGUUUUCGUGUAGAUUUGCUCCGUGUUCUUGAUGAAUCCUCCUCAAAUUCCACUCCAAUCUGAAGAUGGGGCCACCUACACGGCUUGCCGCACAUCAGAUAUCCUCACCAAAACCUCACACUUUGUUUUUCAAUCCUAUGAUUAUUUCUAGGAGAUGCCUUAGUUAGAAAUCAUGUAUAGUUCAACUUUUAUGAAAUUUAGGCACAUGGUAUGAGGUUAUAACAUGACCCCAUGUCAAUUUUCAUAUUUUGACCAUAUUUACAAAAAAAAUACAAAACCAUUAACAUGCAAACAAAUGUUUGUAUUUUCCCAAGUAAUUGUUUGAAAUUUGUAUAUAUUUUAUGAUUAGGCGCUAUAGUGGUACAUAAGUACUUCAAUAUAGUAUAAUGUUCCAUUCCAAGAUUUUUUUUUAAGAUACAUGUAGUUCAAAAUUAGAUUAUCAGUAAUAAAUACCUACAAUUCAUUCAUGCUUACAUAUAGCCGUACUCAGAAAAAAUGCCUAAAAUUGAGAAGAACAAUGUAUUGUACUAUGUUGCAUGUAGAAAAAGUUUGGAUCAUUUUAGGAAAAUAUUUUUGAAAGGCUUUACACAUGGCACCUUUUUGAAAAUUCAAGAAAAUUUAAAAAAUACAAAUGGUUACAUAACAAGAUGAACAUAAAUUGUAUUAGGCCUUGUACAAUGCAAGGUGCUUAGAGAGAUAAACUAGUUUUUUAAGCACCGGUGCUUAUUUAUCAAGGGUAGACACUUAAUUAGGCACCACUCCUAUAGAGACAAUCUCUGGUGCUUAUUGAAAACUCAGUUUAUUUACUAAGUACCUUGCAUUGUACAAGGCCUUGGUCUAUAAUAUUGUAAUAUCAAGUUGUGGUCCAAAUUUGAAGUGAAAUUGAUGGUGAUCUUGGUAUAGAAAAUUAAUUUUGUGAAGUAACUGGGAUUUGGAUAGAACAUAAUAUGUGCAAUGGUCUUGAUAAAGGGGUCAAUAGAUUUACAAGUCAAAACUCUUUGAUGUCACCUAGGAUUUAUCAUGAUCGAUAAACAUGUAAGAAAUUGACAUACUUAAUCAACGAUCAUGGAAAUUUGUGGACGGUUGGAUUAUUACCUAUCUAAAGUAAUUUCAAGGAAACAAACAUGUUUUGGGGUAAUGCAAAUGUGAUCUUUCUAGAUUAGAUGAUAUGACAAAACUGGAUUCUUGGUUGGAUAACCUAGGCACUUAGAUUAGAGAUAAAUUAGUCUAGAUUUAUCAUAUUAUAUAUGCCUAAAAUGGAUUUGCUGACAAAGAUUAAUGCACAUGAGUAACAAGAUGAAAAACUUUGGUUACAAUAAGGAUGCUAUUUUAAAAACACGUACAAAACAUGCACAUGUUAUCAACUUACACCUGUCAUACUCUAGAACUUCCUAUGAAUAUCUUAACUAAUAAUACACUAUAAACCACUAGAUAGUUGCUAGAGUAUGCGCUUUCAAUUUUUUUGUCAUGAUAUUUAAUCAUACUAAAAUAUACAUGCACAUAUGCGCAUACAUACAAAUAUAUAUGUAUACACUAUAUAAUUUAUACAACUUUUAAAUUUUAAUUUGUAGAGAACUUUUUUUACAACAUAUGAAUUAGCACAAUAAAAUUCCAGAGAUACAGGUGAACCGUAUAAUAAGAAAACUACAACUAUUAUUAACAACAUUGUUAUGUGGUUAGCAAUGGUUGCUAAGUAUAGAAAAUUGUGUUCAUUAGAUUGUACCAUUUAAUACUGGAGUAUGUAACAAUUUUUUAAUGAAGUAUAAAAGUCUAGUAUAAAUUUAUUAAUGUUAUUUCCCCAACAUCUAGAUCUAAUCUUCCUUCAAAAAACACUAUGGUAGUGCUCCUAGAUAGAUCAUAAUACAAAAAAUAAUUAUCAGAGCACAUAAGAACCAUCUCAUUAUCUUUCCGUGAGAAAAACUAUGGUGCACUAAUUGAUCUUUAAAUAAGUUUAUGAAAGAGCCCGAUGUAAAAAAAAAAUGCAUGUUCGGUCUUUGAGACAGUUCAAAUUAUUUUGUAAUCCGUUUAAUCUGUUUUAGUGUGAAGGUCUACGGUUCGAAUCCAUAUAGCCCUCAUGGCUCGGCCUACGCCACAUAGUCAGUCUAGCAGACUACAUCGCACCGACAAUGUCUUGCGACUGGGUUUAAGCGUUCCGCCUAGGUCCCAAAUCCAAAGAAAACAAAUCUCUCGUCUCCAUUCCAUCACAAUCACACAUAACAGUAACCAUCAUCCCACAUGGUGGCCAACAGAGGUCACACUAUAAAUCCCCGAUGGCCACGUCAACGAGAUCCUUCGAUGCCUCUCGGUCGGUGGCGUGCUUCGCAAUAAACUCAUUUCAAAGUGUUGUCACGACAUUAUAGACGAUAGUUUGGUUGAUCCACGACUACGCUUGCCGCCGCUCACACACCUCUCUCAUUCUAUUGGCGUGAUGUUGCAAGGCUUGCUGGAGGUCGGGCUGGAGGCCUGCUAGACAACAAUUCCUCUUGUUCAACCUCUUUUGCCAAACUUUCUCCUCAUAUCGAGUUUCGCUAUCAUUUCGCGUGUCCUAAACAUAAAAAAGAAAGAAUUAAUUGUGAAAGACAAGUGUUUCAUCCCCCCCCCCCUAAUCAUUGAAAUUUCAAACUAUCCGCUAGCUCCUUCUUUGUUUGGAUUAUAGCCCUCCCUUGGGGAUUUACGAUCCAAAGUAAAUCGUUCCAGUUACAAAUGCUACUAUUUUUUUGUGGGCAGAAAGUCCAAAAUCUUCUUUUUCCGGUACUCCGCUCAUUUAAAGCUCUGGGUGCUCGAUCUCGCUGCCCAUCAUGCAUACCAACUUUUAUGAUUCAGCAACGCCGUCCCAUCACCUAAGCAUCGCGAGUGUGAGAGCAUGUUUCACAUAGAGAGCUCGUGUGAGUGUGUGUUGCUAAUCUACAUCCAUACCUGACUUUACGCCCAUGUACCAAACGUGAUGUGGUUAUCUUGUACUCCUAAAGUCGGGCCCGACUCGAGCCCAUCCAUCUCAACCAUAAUGUGGUUAUCUUCUACUCUUAGCGUGCUCCUAUUAACAAAAUCUCGAAUACGCACGAGUGUGCGUAUCAUUCAUUAAAGAAGAAGGAGAGAAGACUCCCAAGACUCCACAGUUUUAUAGUCUAUUUACACGCGAUUUUCGCCCAACACCACCAUAUACAUGUAAGCCUUACUACUGCCUAUCUACUGCACUGGGACCUCCGCAGGAAAGCCUUCUUUGACUCCUUUGAUUAAAUGAGCAUUCUACUGAAUUAGAAACGUAAUAUUGGGUGUUGCACAUGAACGUAAUAUUGGGUGUUGCACAGGAAGACUUUCAAAUGGCGCUGUGAGAUACUCCAUCUUUUUUGCAAUUAAAUAAGCAUUCUCAUUCCAUAGCAGUAGGAUUACUAUCAGAUUAUAGGCAAUCCUCUAUAACACUAAGCUCUCUAGUUUUAAAUAGCCCACAUUCAAUUAAGGUCUCCAAUUAAAAUUGGGCCACCUAAUUUUAACCGGGUCAACAGUUUCUCAAAGCUCUCUUAUUCAAUUCUUUUAUACUAUACAAUAUGCUUCCUAAUUUUUAAGGUUUCACAAUUAAUUGAGGUAUUUAAUUUACAAUUGGGUGAACCCAUUUUGACAGGUUCAACACUUGUUCAAGCUCUCCCGUUCAAUUAUUUUAAUUCAGUAUGUUCCCUAAUUUUGAAACUCUUUCAUUCAAUUAAGGUAAUUUUGGAUUUGGUUUACUAUUUUGACCCGGCCAACGAUUUUUCAAAUCAACAAGCAGCAACUGACCUAUAAAAACAUAUCAAUCCCGCGCAUCCUUCCAUCACCCGGAAAAAAGAAGUAUCAUCAUGUGAUAUUGUACCACCAAUAUAGUAGUACAUGCGACCACCGGCAUCAAAAUUUUCCCACAUAAAUAUAGAUUGGUUAACGGGUAACUCGGAAUAACACCACAAAAGACCCACCAAAUCACCGCAUUAUAAAUAAAAAUAAAACACACUCUAUCAUUUCCACCACCCAUCAAACUAAAUAUUCCAUCGGUUCCAAAAUAUGAGGGGUAGUAUUGGUUUUGUAGAAGUCAAAUUUCUUCAACUUUGACCAAGUUCAGAGCAAAAAUAUCGACAUCCACAAUAUUAAACAAAAAGUAUGGAAAUUCAUUUCAUGAUGAAUUUAAAAAUACUGAUUUGAUAUUAUGAAUUUUGAUAUAUUUCUCUAAAUUUUUAUUGAACUUAAAAGGUUUGACUUUCAAAAAAGCAAUAUAUCAUAUAUUUUGAAACAGAGUGAUCAUUUUUUGAAGAAACCCAACAACACCAACGGCGCAGCAAAGCGUGCCCAACACUUCUAGUUAUGGAGAAUCCCGUGUGCAUUGUGUUUCCACGCUUUUUGUCCACGAUCACGAGUACUUUGCACGUAAAUCAGCGGCAACAUUGCCACAUGUAUGUACAAAGUUGAAGUUAAAACAAAUAAAAUUCUUUCUAAGUUCCUUAUAUCAGCUAAGAUGGCCACCACUUGAAAACGUUAAAAGUUUCCUUCAUCUCAAAGUUUAACGAGCACCUGUGAAACCUUGAGGUGGAACCUACCCGCUCGGGCUCCAGUAAAUCAUGAAUAAACAUUCAUCCUCACAUCCCCUCGCAAAACAGGAAAGGCAUCUCAGAAGAAAUCGCCCAUGAGAAAUAUGUAACCUUAAACCAGCAUUUUACAUGCAAUUGACAGCACUAAAAGGCAAAAUAAAAGAAGCUUAGAUCAAGUUCAUCACCAGCAUUUCAUAACACACUUAUAUCAUCCUGCAUUCCCAAUAGGUUAAAGGUUUUGUUACCGCACAUCGACCUAAGCCACGAUCCACAUAUGGUUCCAGAUAAGUCAUAAUCAUACGGCAUGCAUCAUAUUAGACAGUACUGUAGGCAAUAGCUAGCAAACCACAAACCACCACCAGCUUCAAAGUUCAUGCCGGCGAAGCAAAGUGCUUAGUUGUCAGAG
RNAcentral lists this long non-coding RNA (57009 nucleotides) under Triticum aestivum (bread wheat). Its description in RNAcentral is "long non-coding RNA (TAES_LNC007339)". The record is from RNAcentral. Lineage: Eukaryota; Viridiplantae; Streptophyta; Magnoliopsida; Poales; Poaceae.